RNAcentral lists this long non-coding RNA (77127 nucleotides) under Triticum aestivum (bread wheat). RNAcentral's name for it is "long non-coding RNA (TAES_LNC024922)". The record is from RNAcentral. Lineage: Eukaryota; Viridiplantae; Streptophyta; Magnoliopsida; Poales; Poaceae.
AAAAAGGCUACUAGCAGCGCGGGUAAAAUGGCUACUAGCUGUGCGGGUACCCGCGCUACUAGUAUCGCGCUACAGCUAAUAGUUAGUAGUAGCGCGGGUGAAACCCACACUACUACCAACAUUUUAGUAGUAGCGCGGGUGCAACCCACGCUACUAGUAAUGAAAUAGUAGUAGCGCCUUAGGUUUUUUCCCACGCUACUACUAAAAAGUUAGUAGUAGCCUGGAUGCAAACCCACGCUAGCGCAUCUGGUGUUUUCCCAUGCUACUACUAACUAAUUAGGAAUUAAAAAAUAAAAUCCACCAAUUCCAUUCUAUGCAUACAAUUCCAACUAAAACAAACACAUAUUUGCAAUAAACCAGCAGCAUUACACAUCAUUACUAAUCCAAGAUUUAUAAUAAACCAGCGGCAUUAGAGCACAUCCUGUAAGAGCAUACAUAUUGUCAUGGCUUUUCAUGCCUUCAAUUAAAACACCUACACUUCUUGCCAAGUCGCUUACUCCCAGCUAGUGCAAACACAGUUACAAGCAAACCAAAAUGCAUAAAAACACCAAACAGUGGCAUCCUAUCUCUCCAAAUGAUCCGCUCCCUCUGCAUCCUUGCAAGCAUCUUCACGAUAAGCAAAUCCGCAGGAAAAAAGUCAACUUAGCAUGUACUCCCUCUGUCAACUAUCCAGAGUAGAUUUUAUCCAUUGCCCUGGCCAUGUUCAAGAAACACUAAAUUAAGAAUAUUUCUACUCUAAAUAUAGGAGGCAUCGGACAGAAAGCAGAAGAUGAGCAAUGUCAUAUGAGCAGAAUAAAAAGGAGUUUGGACCAUAGCAUGGUUAACAAUAAAAUAUAGAGAAAAGUAUGUUUUUGGUCCCUCAAGUUCCCACAAAGUAUAGGCUUGGUCCCUCAAGAUUUUUUGGUAUACAUUUGGUCCCUCAAGUCUCAAAACCGGAUAAGUUUGGUCCUAAACCAGAUUUUGAGUAUAUUGACCAGUUUUGACCGCCACAAAACCGCCCGAUGAACAAUAAAUUCGAAAAAAAAAACUUCAAAAAAAUCUGAAAUUUUUUGGGGUCGAAUAUGCUUACAUGCGCAAGAUGCGAACAAAAUUUCAGGCUCUUUCGGCACGCGAGGAGCUCGUGGCAAAAAGAAAACAAAAAUAUCUUCCUGAUGAAUAGUAAAUUCGAAAAAAAUCAAAACAAAAUAAAAAAAUUAUGAAAUUUUUUGGGGUCCAAUAUGCUUAAGUGCGCAAGGUGCGACGAAAAAUUUGUCCUGAAAUGAGAUCGGACGGGCUCUUGCAAAAAUUUUGUCAUUUUUUGAAGUUUUUUUUCAAAUUUACUAUUCAUCAGGCGGUUUUGUGGCGGUCAAACCCGGUCAACAUGCUCAAAAUCUGGUUUAGGACCAAGCUUAUCCGGUUUUGAGACUUGAGGGACCAAAUGUAUACCAAAAUUUUUUGAGGGAUCAUGUCUAUACUUUGUGGGAACUUGAGGGACCAAAAACAUACUUUUCUCUAAAAUAUAGUGCUCUAACAAAAGCAAGAGUGCAACACGUUGCCCUGUUCCCCUUUCAAAUAUCAACACACUAAAAAAGGCAAUAAACGCAAACAUAUAAUUUUGGACUACAGCAACAAUCAGUUGCAGAAAGUCAGGAAGAUUAUAUUGUUAAAGUAUUCCAUUUUCAGAUGUUAGAACAGGAUAUUGCAAAAGCAAAAUAUAUGAAGAUCAAAUACUGAAGCAGCUACAAUGCCCUAAUUGGCCUUUUACAGCAGGUGAGAAGCACGCACUAAAACAUUAACAGCCAAGCACAUCAUAUCUUUUGAAACUACCUAAAUGGCACGGCAACAACACUUCCUUUUAAAUAGUUUGAGAAGACAUGCAUUUAAUGGCAGCCACAACAGUAUGCAUCUAGAUGCCCCUUUAACAUAACAUAAUUCUAGAUAUAGUGCAUGCACAAGAAGAGUACGCGCAAGUACGACCGCUCUGAACGAGCUGCUGAUGAUGAAAAGGAGACCACCAAAGGCUUUAAGAAACAUGGUAAAGGCAAUGACAGAAUUGAUCUGUAAACAAACAGAACAAAAGCCAUAAAAAACAGGAACUAGGUGAAUGGUUGUCCUCCAUCGGUUCCAAACUCACUGAACCUGCAUGUACAUUGGAAGAACCAAGCAGAAAAUCGGCAAUUAGAGAGCGAUACUUGAUCUGUACAGCAGCUCAGAAGCAUAACAGGGCUAGCAUAAGAACCAACACAACACUUUCUGUACUACUACCAGAUAAAAACUGAAAUUCAAACAAUAACAUAGCCCUUGAUAUGGAAACAGUUCUGCAGGUAUAUACCAAUAAAAUGAGGUUAAAUGAGAACCAACGGCAGAACGCCCAAAAAGGCCAAAUGGUGAAGCUAGAAUGCGCCAUUGGUGUCUGUACGGCCAGCUCGGAAGCAUAGCACGGCUAACAACACUUAACUUAGAAAAUCCGGCAUUCAAAUGCUCUGAACGAGCGACACAACACUUGAUGUACCAUACCAUAGAAAAUCCAGCAUUCAAACCUAACUUAGCCCUUGGUAUCGAACCAAAAACGCCAGCAGGGUGAAGCUAGCUAGCCAAUUAGGCAGCAAAUGAUAAGCCCGGAUGUCCGCAGGUAAACUAUGCAUUCUGAAAGAGACACAGAUUUAUCUAAGCUAAGCUAAGCUAAGCUCGUGAUGUUACGAUCAUACAUAGGGAGCCAUUUCAGUUGUCACAUGAACCUCUCAAUAAGUAGACGGCCUAAGGUACUAGCAAAGCACUGUUGUGCUGUCCACAGAUUUAUCUGAACCUAUGCGACGGCUACACGGAAUCUCAAUGUGAAGUUGCGCUGGCAGACGGAUAAAGAUGUCGACGCCGCUCGGUCAGAACAAGUUAACAGAGUGAAGUAGUGCAGGGCAAUAUUGAUUAAUUGGUGAAAAGACGGUAAAGAUCAAUUGUAAAUUGCCCAUGGUCUGCUGGUAAUGGAUGGAUGGUUUACGAUGACGGUGCCGCAUCGAGCAUAGCAUCGAUCGACGGAGCAAGCAGUUAACCACUAGGCCCCAAGUGUCCUAAAGGAAAGGAUCCUACUCGUCUCCCAGCUGCCAAGUUCCAUGGGGAUUUAGUUCAGACUUCAGACCAGCCGUCUGUCUACAGCCUGUGGUCGAAAUUAAAAUCAAUUAGUGAUGCAGGCUUUAAAUACGAUGCAGGCUUUAAAAACGCCCACUUGCAGCCAUUUGAGACAGCGUGCACUGGCAUUACAAAACGCCGACUUGCAGGCACGUCUGGUGCAUCACGUGAGUAGUGACCCAAUACAAGGGUGGGAAAAGUGAUUCGUUUUUCAUUUUCGUCAGUCAUGACACGGGGUUCACGGCCUUGACAUUUACAAGCGUGUUACCAAUGCCUUGCCAUCUGCAUCAGCACCCAGUUGGUGGCACUUAUUCACAAGUUGUGCAGUGAAUCCAUUGCAUCAUUUGUUGAGUAACAUCAACGUUCCAUCCACUUGGAUUCAGCAUAUUUGCAAUUGAAUCUAACGCCCCAAUUCUCUUCUCUUCCACUCUAAAAUGUACUGAGAUACAUUUUAGCCGGAUGUUCACAAGAAGAAUGUUUAACCUCGCCACCGGCGACAGCCGUCUGAGACGGGGUGCUGUGCCAUUACAAAACGUCCAGUUGCAGGCAGGAAGGCAGAAGGAUAAUCUUGUUUCAGAUACUACGUUUGAUGCAUCGUGCAAGCAGUCACAUGGUUUUCAUCCAGGACGAGGAAGGAAGUGUUCAAUUUUUCAGUUUCGUCGGUCAUGGCAUUUGCUUUUUGCGUUCAACCAUGCCAUCCCGGUGCUGCCUGUAAAUGUAUUGAACCAUUUGCAAGUUUCGUUUUGAGCUACGUACCAAUUAUACAUUCAUACAGACUAGCACAUCUCCAAAAAACAGAGAGCAAACAAGUUCUAAUAGAGGAUGCAGAAACAGAUUUGAAGAGAGCGGGCAGCAAGUGAAGGGGAAGGGGAAGGAGUGGGUACCUACAUAUUCCAACAGAGGCUGGGAUGGGGUCUUGGAGGCCGACAUCGCCGUCGUUGUUGCCCGCCGCUGCGCUGAGCCUGCUACGCCGGAGGUCGCCGUCGCCAUAGACGGAAGGAGGGACGGACGACAAGCAGCGGUGGUGGUGAGGUGGGAGACUCGCUGCGCCACUGCCAUCAGCCGCAGCACGAGGCGGCCGGUCUUGGAGGAAGGUGGCACCAUGUAGUUGCCCGUCGAGGCCGCCGCGGCAAACACCGCCCUACCCCUCCUCCGCCGCUCCGGCGCCACGGCCACGCACACGCGGCUACGGCGGGAGCCGCGGCGAGGAGGCGAGGGUCCGCGCGAGGGAUGGCGCAGACACGCUUAGUAAUAGCCCGGGGAAUUACCUGCGCUAUAGCCACUUAAUUAGUAGCAGCGCGGGUUUAUACCCCUCGCUACUACUAUCAACUUAGUAGUAGCGCGGGUUUUAUACCCCUCGCUACUACUAAUUAGUAGUAGCCCCUCUUUUUAGACCGCGCUACUAAUAAACUUCUGUGUAUAAGGUUUUUCCUAAUAGUGUUAUUAUGCCAUAAAAAUUCUCUCACAAUCAAUAUUUCGACAAUUUAGUAAAGAAAAUUACUACAUCAACCUUAAAAUUUGGAAAAAAUAUUUUAAAAAAAACAUAAUUAAUAGUAAAACCUAAAGUGUUAAGAUAUAACCUGUUACACCUUUCCAUCUAUCAAUGGAAUAAAAAAACUGCAUUAACCUUAAAUUUUGGAGUAGUAUAUUAAAAAAAGAAACACAAUUAAUUGCAACAGAAACCUAAAUUGUUAACAAAUCACCUGACACACCUUUCCAUCUAUCAAUCAAUGAAAUAUAAAAGGAUAGGUACACUUCGGUUUUUUAGGAUAACUUACUUAUCUAUUUAUUCAAAAAACUCGGACAUCCCCGAGGCAACGAUCUGCAAAAUACAGUCUGGUGGAUUAUCAGUCCACACAUUGUUUAGUUCCCUACAACCUCUCGAGCUAACCCAUGAGCAGCUCCAUUAACGGAAUGGCGCGCCAAGCUAAUCUUUGUAUCUUGAAAGUUUGUAAGCGUGCCCACCAACGGCUGCUAGGUUCUUCUCCCUGGCGUUCAGCGUGCCCACCACCGUUAUCCAACUCAACAUGCAGCUUCUGCACAUGCAACUCCGCAGCUAGUUGAACUCCCAUUCUGCAUGCAAGGAUUUCUGAAAACUCUGACAGACUCGAAACGGUGGCAGCCCGCCCCUCGGAAUGCACCUGUGCGAUCCCUGGACAUCUUGCAAUUUGCACAUACAUGCAUGACAUAUCUCAGUAAUUUGAAAUGAGCCCAGUUUCAUUGAACCGAUGCUUGGCGCAAGGGGCGCAAGAAGCAACGAAUCCCCAUCCGACUUCCCUACUUCCAGAUCGAGAGAAUACAGAAGAACUAAAAAAAAGCACGAAGUUCAUGGCAUAUAGAAAAUUAACAAGUCGAUAUGGAGGAGGCGGAGCUUGGCCUGCCACUACGCUCGAGCUAGCAGGGAUGGCCAAGGUCAAACCACCACGGCACCACCGUCGUGGGCAUCCUUUUGCCGCCAUAGCUGACGCUCCACCCCCGCCUCGUCUGCUCCUUUCUCUCCUUCCUCACAUCUCUCCCUGUCAAAUCUCUCUCUUCUGUCCCUCUACAGGAACCAGAGAACGCCGCCGCCAUUGGCGACCAUGAAGCUCAGUGCCGCGUCACACCUCUCCCUCAAUUCCCUUUUUCUUGACCCCGAUGAACAGCGCAUGCAUGAACUCAUAGCCAGCUUCUGGGUACGUGCAAGUUUUCCACGUAUAUAAAAUUAUAAACUGGUGUUGUUGAAUAUAAAAGAUCGAGAUGGGACUAUUCAUAACAGACAGAACCCCAUUAUAUAAUACACAAACGUGCUUUAGCUCAAUUGGUACAUAGAUUAGUACCACCUCGGUUAGAGAAAAUAUAAAUCGUAAAAGCGUAUUACAACUGGACGGAAGCGUAUUAUGACAGUGAACCCACGGAGUCAAUCUGUGCUUUAUUAUUACUAGCACAAAUGUCCGUGCGUUGCAACGGAAGCUGUGCUUUGACUUUUGGUUAAAAAACGGAUUUCAGCUAAAUUUUGGCCAUUUUCUCCUGGGACGGAAAGUACCGAAACCUUUCGGCCGAAAAAUAUAUAUUUUGGUGAAAUUUCGGCCACAUCGCUUCGCGAGUCUCCCUUCCCCCAACUUAUAGUUCAUGGGCCUGUAAUGCUCCUAGUAUUAAUUGAUAUUUCAAAUGGGCAAGCACAAUCAUAAAUCUAAGCUCUUAAAGAAAUAACUCAUUAAUUAAUAUACAAAUACAACAUAAAAAUGUCAAAUAUUUCAGCCGCAUUUCUAUUUUCUUUCCCUCCAAAGCAACGUUCGUAUAAAUAUUCAAACGACAAUCAAACUUCCUUCUUAUUUAAGUAGCCUUACACAAUCCUUCCUUUUUAAGGAUAUGACCCGUUUGAAUCCUUCCUUAUUUCUUGAUCACACAAUCCUCCUUCCUUUUAACUAUUAUUAUUUUGGCUAAAUUUUGGCCAUUUUGGCCUGGGGCGAAAAGUACCUUUUAACUGAAAAAUAUAUAUAUUUGUCAAAUUUCGGCCACACCGCUUCGCGGGUCUCCCUUCCCCACAACUUAUAAUUCAUGGACUUGUAAUGCUCCCAUGCGUUGUAACGGGAGAAAACCAAAAAAUAAUGGGAUACAGAGCCGGCUUUGUGGUAGGGUUUAGUGCUUUCAUGGAAGGCCACCAUCGAGAUGGGCCGUUGCUAAGGAGGAGCUUAACUUAGGCAAGCAGUGAUUACAGUUGAGAAGGGCGAACCCGAGGGAGGUCAAUGGCACGGUUGCAAGCAGUGGCAACAAAGUUGUUCAACUAUCAUCAACCCAGGCAACAACAUGCUCAAAAUUUUCAAGACUACUAUUUUUGUACCGAGUGAAUUUAUAUGUAUCGUAGUCAGGAAUAAUAAAGUUCAAGAAUAUAUAUAAUACUGACAAAAUAACAAACAUACAACGUCCAAAAGAUACAUUGGUACCUGACAAAGUGACGAUCAUCAUGAUAAUCAAAAUAACAAACAUAUUGUUUCUCGUACAGGUUACUGAUCUAUUAAGAUCAUCAUACCGUAGAGAAAGAAAUCUGUGUACCGGAUCAUCUUGAGAUGCAAACAAUAUAUGCUAGCACCUGUUAGAGACACCUGAGUAUCCAUUUUCCCAGUAUCGAUACUUCAUUCGUUUCUAUUCGAUGCCGAUAGUCACAAAACAGUUUCUUCCUGCGGUUAACUGCUUAAAAAAGCAAUAUCGUUCCAUCUCAUUAGUUGAAGCUUAUUAACGACUCCUAGUAUGAGAGACCAAAUAUCAAACUGGGCAGGAGCUGUAUAAACAUCUACUUUAGACGAUCAUGUGCAUAUACAUACCUGAAGACGUGAACUCAUGCCCCUGGUUGUUGGCUUGAAAGAUCGUCACUUUCCUACAAUCACCAAAUAGGAUUAACCGGUGUCCACGAUGGUCGGCUAGGUUUGUACGUAUGAGUUUUUCAUGUGUAUGUAUGAGCUGGGGAUGACAAAGGAGACGACGGCGCCGCCGCCGCUACUCCUGCAGCUUGUCGAUGACCUGGAGCAGGAUGGGGCGGAACCUGUGAGGUUCACCUUCACGUCCUGCUUCAUGAUGGUCUCGGCGAGCGCCUGCCACCCCUGCUUGUGCAGCGCCUUGGGGUCGCUGAACACCAGGUGCUCCCUCGGGUACUUGUCCUUGAGGCUCGUCUCCUCCUCGUCGACAUAGUACUCCACGAGUCCACGUACCGGAGCUGCAUGUCCCGCGCCGGCUGCCCGUAGAAGUUGGUGGCCAUCCAGUCCAUGUUCCCCCAUGGCACGAUCUGCAGCACCACCGCCUGCGUCGGCUGGAUGAUCUGGUUCGUCAGCCCGGCCCCGUGCACCGCCAGCAGCACGUCCGCCGCGUUCACCAGCGCCGCGAACGCCGCCACGUCCGCCCCCGCCUCCGCCACCGUCACGUUGAACCCGAGCUCGGUCGCCGCCGCCGCCACCUCCUCCAGGUUCAGCAGCUUCCGCGUGCCCCCGCGGGAGAUGAUCAGCAUCUGCGGCCGCAUCCCCGGGGCCUUGGUCGUGGGUUUGAAACUCACGUGAAGUAUUUUUUGCAUCGUUUUUUUCCUUUUGACCAGGCCCCAUCACGCGGUUGACAGGAACGAUCAACACGGCCCAGUCCAGCGAGCCGGAGGGACAAAACAGCGACUUAUACCAAUUGACGUACACGAUCAAUGAACAGUUUUUUGGUACCACCUCGCGUACAUGUUUUAAAUUCAAAGUGAAAGCGUAAACUUACGAGAAGAAGCGUAUUGUGACGGUGAACCCACGGAGUCAAUCCGUGCUUUAUUAUUAUUAGGGAGAGACUAGUACAAAUGCCCGUGCGCUGCCAAAUUUUUGCUUCCCCCGAGUAGAUGGGCCAAGCGCAGGCUGGCGCUGAAAACUCCUGAUGAACGGAAGUCUGUAUUGCUUUUGAUGUAUGUGCUAUAUAGAUUAGUACCACCUCGGUUAGAGAAAAUAUAAAUCGUAAAAGCGUAUUACGACUGGGCGGAAGCGUAUUGUGACGGUGAACCCACAAAGUCAAUCCGUGCUUUAUUAUUACUAAUACAAAUGCCCGUGCGCUGCAACGGGCAUGGAAUCUUGCAAAAUCUACUCGAUGUGUCAUUAGGUACAAUUUGUUUUUUUGAGUUGGAAUCAUUGUGACUUAUUGAAGUUAUCACACUGGUAGGCUCGAAAAUAAAACAUGGGCAACUUUGUUCGCCGAACGUCGCACCCAGCAAACCUUGGACUCCAUGAAGUCGUGAAGUUCUUUAUCAUUACACACCAUUUCUUAUAUUCAGUUCUAAUAAACGUGAUUAUUGUUUCUCGGCUGAAUAUUGGUCGUCAAGAAGCCACCUCGACAUUCUUCGUCUGACUGAAGAAUAAUUCAUGGAAUAGUCUCUAAAUAUUUUUCUUUUCUUUUAGGAAAACAUGAAUUUUUUAAUAAAACGAAAUGAUUUAUUAAAAAAAAUAGCAUUUUUCUGAACAUUUCUAAAUGCAUUUUUAAAUGUAACAACUUUUGGGAAUUUUGACCAGUUUUAAAAGUGUGAAUAUAUAUAACUGUGUGCUUAUUAUAAAACGAUUUUUACUAUGUUGGGUAUUUUUAGAUAUAUAAGUUUGUUGUACUUUUCAUUUUUAUUUUCUGUUUUUGUUUUAUUUUAUGUUAAAAUAAUUUGCGAUUACAAAAAGGUUCUAAAAUUGCAAAAAACAUUGUUCGUUUUGAUUUCUCAAUAAUAGUUCUUGAAUUCAAAAAACGUCCAUGAUUUCAAAAAAUAUGAACAAUUUUUUAUUUUUUUGGAAAAUAUUAUAAGCAUUCUUUAAUAAUGAUGAACGUUUUUUAAACUUGAAUAACAACUUUUAAUUCGGUAAAAAAUGAAUUUGUUGAACUUUUUUCAAAAAUGACGAACACAAUUUUAAUUUAAUGAAUAUUUUUUUUAGGUCGGUGAACAAAUUUUGAUGAACAUUUUCUAAAUCCGAUGAAAAAAUUGAAUUCGAUGAACCCUUUUUGAAAUUCGAUGAACAAAAAAAUCUUCGUGAAUCUGAAAAGAAAUUUCACAAAAAAAGUGAAAAAGUAAAGAUGAGAAAAGAAGAAAGAAAAAGGAAAACAGAAAAUAAAAUGAAAGGAAAAAAGAAAGAAAGAAAAAGAAAAUACGAAUAAAAACAAAAAAUGGGCUUGCGCAUGAGAACGCCCAGCGCGCGAGGGGUAGUGCACGCGGUAGCGCCGUAUAGGCUUCCCCCAUAGAGAACACUUUGGUUUUCAAAAAAAGGGAGUGUCUAUAUUACAAUCGACUGAAAUUGAAUUGGCCUUCAAUCAAAUAUACCAACCAGUAAAAAUCUGACACCAACUGAAAAAAAACUUGACUGAAAAUAAAGGGGCAUUCAACCAAUUUUUUCAGGCACUACAAACAUGGCACGUGUAUGUAUGACCUAUGCGCUCUAUGAUCCAUGAGCAAGCAAUGAAAGGGCCCAAAAAGCCAGGUCAGUACUCUCACGACCUUCUCCAGGUUAUUGACAGUUUUAUUUUCUUCACAAUACUAUUGGAAGAAAACCUGAAAUUCUCAUCUCAAGGAUCUGAAGUUGAUACUUGUGGAAGAAACUCCUGAACACAAACAUAGUAUAAAUUCAUAAUUAGGCUGCCGUAAAGUCAUCAUCAACCUGCUGUACAAUGAUCAACACAAGAUGAACUAAUCACAUACUAAACAUUUCAUCGUCAUGAAGCUUUAAAUACAGUGGCUUGAGUUGAAAUUUACAGUCAUCUCACUACGAAUAAAGAGUAACUUUUAAAGUGUAUCACAUAUUCAGCUUUGAUGAAUUUUACAGUGUUCAUUUUACUAAAAUUCCAGUCAGUAACAAGCAGAUCACAACAAAGAUACUGGAACUUCAGUAAAUAAGGAGAAACAACCAGUAACAAUGUGUGCUUUAUGAUCAAAUAAGAACGAGAAAGAGGAUGGAGGAAGAAGGGGACAGAAUAGCUACACAAUCAGGAAACUACAGUCACACCAAGAAGACAAACUGUAGGUCAGUACUCUCACAAUCUCCUUCAAAUAGUUCUUCCAGUAAAAAAUGUAGCACUGUAAAUUCAGGUAACUGUAUAGUGUAAAAUCUAUCACUGUAAAAUACAAAAAUCACAACAUUUAGGCUACUACUAUAAAUUACAGAAGUUAUAGGAUUGUAAAACUAAAAACAGGGUAGUGUAAAUUCAAACAUAAGGUCACUGUAAAUUCAAACAAUCAAAAAAUUUAUAGUGCGGUAAAUUAUAGAAGCUAUAGGACAGUAAAUCCUUCAUCAGGUUAGUCAUCAAUUAACUAUAAUUUACUACGAAUACAAACAAAAAAGCAGACUUCUAUGAAUACUACAGUACUGUAAAAUCCGAAGGUUGAGGUCGGUCGUGGCGCCCAUGCAUUGCAUCGGAAAAAAUCGCAUGCCCUUAUGGUUGUCCGGAUCUUCUACUUGAAGACGGCUAAUCAUUACGCCGUCGUCCCGAGCUCUUCCUCGCUUCCCUCAUUGUUUGAUAAUCUAUCCAGCCCUUUUCUAAUGGACCACUUGGCCUGCUGUUUACAAAGCACAUAUCAGCACACUGUAACACUGCCAGUAGUAUUCAUACAUGGAAAGCCCACACAACGUCCAAUCCUUCUUUACCGGGUCUUUCUCUUAUUGUCACGUUGUAACCACACCCCUUAACCCUCUGCACAAUUGUCAUUCCUUCUUCACCGGGUCUAUCAUUUGCCAUGUUAUACCCACACCUCACCCUCCUGCUGUUCUAUAUCUGUAAGCAUCUUGUUGAUCCGCUAAGCAUCUUGUUUCAGUAGAUAAGUAGAGUUGUAUAGCCGUCUAACUCGUAUUAUCAUUGGUGCUUCUUGAACCACAUAAGAAUUGGACUCUUGUGACACUACUAGGAAAAGGCCUGCUAGUGGCGCACCUAUUUUGGCUACUAAUGGCACACUACAGGUGCGCCACUAGCAUCACGCCAUUAGAAUUUUAUACUAAUGGCGCAUCAGGGAGUGCGCCAUUAGUAUAUCACACGGUGCGCCAUUACUAUCUGACUUAGUAAUGGUGCACCACAUAGAAGUGCGCCAUUACUAACAAUUUUUUUUCAAAUAUUUUUUCAGAAUUUUUUUUCAAAUCUUUUUUCGUAAUCUCGGGUCACUAUGGCUUAAUCUCAAGUCAAAUCGCACUAAGUGGUCAAACUUCCCGGAAGGUCACCUAUCCUCACACUACUCCAGCCCGAACACACUUAACUUCGCAGUUCUAUCCAACCCCAGCACCACCUCACUUAACAGACACUUGUUGAUAUAUCUAUCAUAUCAAUCCUAUUAAACCUUGUUGAUGUCUAGGACUUUGUUCAUGUUCAUGAGUAUGAUGAAAUUUUGAAAAAUAUUUCAAACUUUCCAGUCAUAUUACGUACCAUUUUUUGAAAAAAAUUUCCAAAAAAAAAUUCGAAACCAAUUUUUUUUCUGUUACUAGUGGCGCACCUAGCAAACGGUGCGCCACUAGUAAGUUUGAAUUUUUUUUUCAUUUUUUCCCCUCUAGAUCUUAAAAGCCCCGUAACUUUUUUUCUGUUAGGUUUUUGAGGAUUUUGAAAAAAUUUAACGGGGUUCCCUGAGGUAUUUGAGGAUUCGAAACCAAUUUAUGCAUCUUAUCUUCCUUUGAUUGACGGUAGCAUUAUAAGAUGACCUCUCACUAAAUUAUCAAGGUAUAAGUGUUCUCCCUGAGUAUGCACCGUUGCGAAAGUUCUUCGUGCUGAGACACCACGUGAUGAUCGGGUGUGAUAGGCUCUACGUUCAAAUACAACGGGUGCAAAACAGUUGCACACACGGAAUACUCAGGUUAAACUUGACGAGCCUAGCAUAUAACAGAUAUGGCCUCGGAACACUGAGACCGAAAGGUCUAGCGUGAAUCAUAUAGUAGAUAUGAUCAACAAAGUGAUGUUCACCAUUGAAACUACUCCAUCUCACGUGAUGAUCGGACAUGGUUUAGUUGAUUUGGAUCACGUGAUCACUUAGAGGAUUAGAGGGAUGUCUAUCUAAGUGGGAGUUCUUAAGUAAUAUGAUUAAUUGAACUUAAAUUUAUCAUGAACUUAGUACCUGAUAGUAUCUUUCUUGUCUAUGUUGAUUGUAGAUAGAUGGCCCAUAUUGUUGUUUCGUUGAAUUUUAAUGCGUUCCUUGAGAAAGCAAAGUUGAAAGAUGAUGGUAGCAAUUACACGGACUGGGUCCGUAACUUGAGGAUUAUCCUCAUUGCUGCACAGAAGAAUUAUGUCCUGGAAGCACCGCUAGGUGCCAGGCCUCCUGCAAGAGCAACACCAGAAGUUAUGAACGUCUGGCAGAGCAAAGCUGAUGACUACUCGAUAGUUCAGUGUGCCAUGCUUUACGGCUUAGAACCGGGACUUCAACGACGUUUUGAACGUCAUGGAGCAUAUGAGAUGUUCCAGGAGUUGAAGUUAAUAUUUCAAGCAAAUGCCCGGAUUGAGAGAUAUGAAGUCUCCAAUAAGUUCUACAGCUACAAGAUGGAGGAGAAUAGUUCUGUCAGUGAGCAUAUACUCAAAAUGUCUGGGUAUAAUAAUCACUUGAUUCAACUGGGAGUUAAUCUUCCGGAUGAUAGCGUCAUUGACAGAAUUCUUCAAUCACUGCCACCAAGCUACAAGAGCUUCGUGAUGAACUAUAACAUGCAAGGGAUGAAUAAGACGAUUCCCGAGCUCUUCGCAAUGCUAAAGGCUGCGGAGGUAGAAAUCAAAAAGGAGCAUCAAGUGUUGAUGGUCAAUAAGACCACCAGUUUCAAGAAAAAGGGCAAAGGAAAGAAGAAGGGGAACUUCAAGAAGAACAGCAAGCAAGUUGCUGCUCAGGAGAAGAAACCCAAGUCUGGACCUAAGCCUGAGACUGAGUGCUUGUACUGCAAGCAGACUGGUCACUGGAAGUGGAACUGCCCCAAGUAUUUGGCGGAUAAGAAGGAUGGCAAGGUGAACAAAGGUAUAUGUGAUAUACAUGUUAUUGAUGUGUACCUUACUAAUGCUUGCAGUAGCACCUGGGUAUUUGAUACUGGUUCUAUUGCUAAUAUUUGCAACUCGAAACGGGGACUACGGAUUAAGCGAAGAUUGGCUAAGGACGAGGUGACGAUGCGCGUAGUAAAUGGUUCCAAAGUCGAUGUGAUCGCAGUCGGCACACUACCUCUACAUCUACCUUUGGGAUUAGUUUUAGACCUAAAUAAUGUUAUUUGGUGCCAGCUUGAGCAUGAACAUUAUAUCUGGAUCUUGUUUAAUGCGAGACGGUUAUUCAUUUAAAUCAGAGAAUAAUGGUUGUUCUAUUUAUAUGAGUAAUAUCUUUUAUGGUCAUGCACCCUUGAAGAGUGGUCUAUUUUUGUAGAAUCUCGAUAGUAGUGAUACACAUAUUUAUAAUAUUGAAACCAAAAGAUGCAGAGUUGAUAAUGAUAGUGCAACUUAUUUGUGGCACUGCCGUUUAGGUCAUAUCAGUGUAAAGCGCAUGAAGAAACUCCGUACUGAUGGACUUUUGGAACCACUUGAUUAUGAAUCACUUGGUACGUGCGAACCGUGCCUCAUGGGCAAGAUGACUAAAACGCCGUUCUCCGGUACUAUGGAGAGAGCAACAGAUUUGUUGGAAAUCAUACAUACAGAUGUAUGUGGUCCGAUGAAUGUUGAGGCUCGUGGCGGAUAUCGUUAUUUUCUCACCUUCACAGAUGAUUUGAGCAGAUAUGGGUAUAUCUACUUAAUGAAACAUAAGUUUGAAACGUUUGAAAAGUUCAAAGAAUUUCAGAGUGAAGUUGAAAAUCAUCGUAACAAGAAAAUAAAGUUUCUACGAUCUGAUCGUGGAGGAGAAUAUUUGAGUUACGAGUUUGGUCUUCAUUUGAAACAAUGCGGAAUAGUUUCGCAAAUCACGCCACCCGGAACACCACAGCGUAAUGGUGUGUCCGAAUGUCGUAAUCGUACUUUACUAGAUAUGGUGCGAUCUAUGAUGUCUCUUACUGAUUUACCGCUAUCAUUUUGGGGUUAUGCUCUAGAGACAGCUGCAUUCACGUUAAAUAGGGCACCAUCUAAAUCUGUUGAGACGACGCCUUAUGAACUAUGGUUUGGCAAGAAACCAAAGUUGUCGUUUCUUAAAGUUUGGGGCUGCGAUGCUUAUGUGAAAAAGCUUCAACCUGAUAAGCUCGAACCCAAAUCGGAGAAAUGUGUCUUCAUAGGAUACCCAAAAGAGACUGUUGGAUACACCUUCUAUCACAGAUCCGAAGGCAAGACUUUUGUUGCUAAAUUUGGAUCCUUUCUAGAGAAGGAGUUUCUCUCAAAAGAAGUGAGUGGGAGGAAAGUAGAACUUGAUGAGGUAACUGUACCUGCUCCCACUAGUAGGAAAAGGGGUUUUUACCCCGGUUCAAAAGGGCCUUUAGUCCCGGUUCUGGAACUGGGACUAAAGGGUCGUUACUAAUGCCCUAGCCCUUUAGUCCCGGUUCUUACACGAACCGGGACUAAAAGCCGUCCACGUGGCCGGUGCGGGGAGCCCAGGCAGGAGGGCCUUUGGUCCCGGUUGGUGCCACCAACCGGGACCAAUAGGCAUCCACGCGUCAGCACCUGGCAGGAGCUGAGGUUUUUGUUUUUUUUGAAAGGGGGUGGUUUAGGGCUUUUGGGGGGUUAAUUUAGGUGUUUCAUAUAUUGUGUUAGCUAGCUAAUUAAUAGAGAGAAGUGUCCUCUCUUAUCUCCGUGCUUGGUCGACGCUACGUACUAUAUACGUAUGGAGAGGAGUAGACACGCUAGCUAGUAAUCAAAUGAAGGAAACAGAAGAUCAUCAUGAACAUAUGCAUACAGAGAGAAGUGAUAUCGACCACCUCUCCUUCUCCGAGAUAUUGGUCGAACAACAAGUUCUCGUAUAUCUAUCCGACACUACCGGCUACAUAUAUACAAUAAUUAUCUCUUACAAUACAAUCUCCUAAUUAUAUUGUAGGAACACAGGGUCCACAUAGUAUUCUCCGUUUUCAGCGAUCACGUGGUCAAGGAAGAAUGCCGCCAAUUCCUCUUGAAUUCCUCGCAUACGAUCUUCUGCUAGGAGUUCAUCCCGCUUCCGAAAAAUCUAUUUUGAAGAAGGGGGUCAAUACAUAUAUAUAUGAAUAAAUGAAACUCAACACAAAUGAUGGUAAUAAAAUAAAAUUGUGAAUAUUAUUGCUUACGCACUUCAUAUUGUUCUUCAGUGUAGCCCCGCUCACAGGUAUGGUAGCGGAUGGACUCGCAAACGUAGUAUCCACAGUAAUUAUUCCCGGGUUGCUGCCACAACCACUUUACAAGAAAUAGAGGUCAAUCAAACUGAUAAGCAAGCAUGCUAAAUGGUAUUGAUCAAACUAGCGCUUGAAUCACUAGGAGAUGCGCCGAACAUGCUACUAUAGUACUUACUUUCGGGUGUCUAAAUUGCAGCUUGUUCGGCAGUCCCGGGGCUUUUGAGGUGAGUUUUCUCCAAACCCUGCCAGACAAAGAAAACAAUUACUUGAUAUCAGGAAAUGAACAAAGUUGCUGAUAUGGUGGAUAAUGAUCGAUUUAACUUACUUCUGGAGCAUUUGAGUCAUGUUCGCAUAGUCCUGGGGAUCUUUUCGUCUCGAUUUUAAGACGGUUACUACUCCCGGCUCAAGCUUAAUCUCUAGGAGAAUAUAGUGGAAGUUGCGCAUGCAUGCAUAAGUCAUCAAUUACAUUACCAUAACCUGGACUAAUAAGGGAAACCGAAUAUGCACAAGACAGUAACACUCACUUGAAGUUGUAAGGAAAGAGUAUUAUAUCUUUGUUUUGAUUUAAUACCAACGAUUGUAGCAAGUUGGCCUCGGCUUCUUUGGGAUGUUUUUCAACCGUAUAUGCAUCUAUGAGAUUUGUAUUUAUGAACCUAAUAUCACCGAUUUGCCUUUUCUUCAAUUUGGCGAUCUUCAAUCUGCAUAAUAUAGUGAGGAUAAGUAUAAAUACAAGCGCAUUGCAUCCAUCUUGAUACCAAGCCUCGGUAUGAAUGGCAUAUUUUCUAAUCUUUCUAAUAUUCAAGCGCAUUGCAUCCAUCUUGAUCUUGUGAUCAUUGACGACAUCCGCAACAUGCAACUCCAAUAUCAUCUUCUCCUCCUCAAUUUUUUUUUAUUUUUUCCUUCAAGUAAUUGUUUUCUUCUUCAACUAAAUUUAACCUCUCGACAAUAGGGUCGGUUAGAAUUUCCGGUUCAACCACCUCCUAGAUAAAUAAAAUCUAUGUCACGUUGGUCGGCAUAUUUGUCAUAAACAAUAAAUGAACCAAAUAGUUAUAAAAAGAUAAUAUAUACCACAUCCGAAUCAUAGACAGGACGAGGGCCGACGGGGGCGGGUACCAAAACCAUCGCACUAUGUAAUAAGAAGGAAUAAUAAAAGUAACAAAAUUAGACAAGUAUCUAUCUGAAGUAAGAAUUUUUUUCUUUCAGAAAGAAGAUAAGAACAAGAGGCUCACCACGGUGGUGCUGGCGACGAGAUCGGUGCGGGCGAUCGACGGCGGUGAAGACGGGGACGGGACGUGACGGACCGCUAAACCUAGACAAAUCUCGGGGAAAAUGGCGCUCGGAGGUCGAGUUUCGAGAGGAGAAAGAUUAACUAGUGUGGCUCAAACAUUUCAUCGAACACCUCAUGUGCAUAGGAGGUGAGCUAGAGCACCCAAAUGCCCUCCCCUCGACGGCCAGAAAAAAUAGAGCACUGUGGAGUGCUCUGCUGCGGCGAUGGGGUAUAUAUAGGCAGCUCAUUUGUCCCGGUUCAUGACUAGAACUGGUACUAAAUCCCGGCCUUCUGUUCCGGUUCAUGCCAAGAACCGGGACCAAUGGUCGUGGGCCAGGAGCGAGGCCCAUUAGUCCCGGUUCGUGCCUCGAACCGGGACAAAUGGUUCCAUACGAACCGGGACCAAUGCCCACGAGGCCCCGGCCGCCCCUCUGGGCUCACGAACCGGGAUGAAUGCCCCCAUGGGUCCCGGUUCGUGACUGAACCGGGGCUAAUGUGAAAACUGUCCUGUGACCUAAGCCCCUUUUCCUACUAGUGUCCCUUAUUGGAAAGUAGUUCAUCACAGGAACCGGUUCCUGUGACGUCUACACCAAUUAGUGAGGAAGUUAAUGAUGAUGAUCAUGGAACUUCAGAUCAAGUUGAUAGUGAACCUCGUAGGUCAAACAGAGUAAGAUCCGCACCAGAGUGGUACGGUAAUCCUGUUCUGGACGUUAUGUUACUAGACCAUGACGAACCUACGAACUAUGAGGAAGCGAUGGUGAGCCCAGAUUCCGCAAAAUGGCUUGAUGCCAUGAAAUCUGAGAUGGGAUCCAUGUAUGAGAACAAAGUAUGGACUUUGGUUGACUUGCCCGAUGAUCGGCAAGCCAUUGAGAAUAAAUGGAUCUUCAAGAAGAAGACUGACGCUGACGGUAAUGUUACUGUCUAUAAAGCUCGACUUGUUGCGAAAGGUUUUUGACAAGUUCAAGGGAUUGACUACGAUGAGACUUUCUCACCCGUAGCGAUGCUUAAGUCUAUCCGAAUCAUGUUAGCAAUUGCCGCAUUUUAUGAUUAUGAAAUUUGGCAAAUGGAUGUCAAAACUGCAUUCCUGAAUGGAUUUCUGGAAGAAGAGUUGUAUAUGAUUCAACCAGAAGGUUUUGUCGAUCCAAAGAGAGCUAACAAAGUGUGCAAGCUCCAGCGAUCCAUUUAUGGACUGGUGCAAGCCUCUCGGAGUUGGAAUAAAUGCUUUGAUAGCAUGAUCAAAGCAUUUGGUUUUAUACAGACUUUUGGAGAAGCCUGUAUUUACAAGAAAAUGAGUGGAGCUCUAUAGCAUUUCUGAUAUUAUAUGUGGAUGACAUAUUGCCUGUAUUUAAAAGAAAGUGAGUGGAGCUCUAUAGCAUUUCUAAUAUUAUAUGUGGAUGACAUAUUGUUGAUUGGAAAUGAUAUAGAAUUUCUGGAUAGUAUAAAGGGAUACUUGAAUAAGAGUUUUUCAAUGAAGGGCCUCGGUGAAGCUGCUUAUAUAUUGGGCAUCAAGAUCUAUAGAGAUAGAUCAAGACGUUUAAUUGGACUUUCACAAAGCACAUACCUUGACAAAGUUUUGAAGAAGUUCAAAAUGGAUCAAGCAAAGAAAGGGUUCUUGCCUGUGUUGCAAGGUGUGAAGUUGAGUAAGACUCAAUGCCCGACCACUGCAGAAGAUAGAGAGAAGAUGAAAGAUGUUCCCUAUGCUUCAGCCAUAGGCUCUAUCAUGUAUGCAAUGCUGUGUACCAGACCAGAUGUGUGCCUUGCUAUAAGUCUAGCAGGGAGUACCAAAGUAAUAUAGGAGUGGAUCACUGGACAGCGGUCAAGAACAUCCUGAAAUACUUGAAAAGGACGAAGGAUAUGUUUCUCGUUUAUGGAGGUGACAAAGAGCUCAUUGUAAAUGGUUACGUUGAUGCAAAAUUUGACACUAAUCCGGACGAUUCUAAAUCGCAAACCGGAUACGUGUUUACAUUGACGGUGGAGUUGUUAGUUGGUGCAGUUCUAAACAAAGCGUCGUGGCGGGAUCUACAUGUGAAGCAGAGUACAUAGCUGCUUCGGAAGCAACAAAUGAAGGAGUCUGGAUGAAGGAGUUCAUAUCCGAUCUAGGUGUCAUACCUAGUGCUUCAGGUCCAAUGAAAAUCUUUUGUGACAAUACUGGAGCAAUUGCCUUGGCGAUGGAAUCCAGAUUUCACAAGAGAACCAAGCACAUCAAGAGACGCUUCAAUUCCAUCCGGGAUUUAGUCCAGGUGGGAGAGAUAGAAAUUUUCAAGAUACAUACGGAUCUGAAUGUUGCAGACCCGUUGACUAAGCCUCUUCCACAAGCAAAACAUGAUCAGCACCAAGACUCCAUGGGUGUUAGAAUCAUUACUGUGUAAUCUAGAUUAUUAACUCUAGUGCAAGUGGGAAACUGAAGGAAAUAUGCCCUAGAGGCAAUAAUAAAGUUAUUAUUUAUUUCCUUAUAUCAUGGUAAAUGUUUAUUAUUCAUGCUAGAAUUGUAUUAACCGGAAACAUAAUACUUGUGUGAAUACAUAGACAAACAAAGUGUCACUAGUAUGCCUCUACUUGACUAGCUCGUUCAUCAAAGAUGGUUAUGUUUCCUAGCCAUAGACAUGAGUUGCCAUUUGAUUAACGGGAUCACAUCAUUAGGAGAAUGAUGUGAUUGACUUGACCCAUUCCGUUAGCUUAGCACUCGUUCGUUUAGUAUAUUGCUAUUGCUUUCUUCAAGACUUAUACAUGUUCCUAUGACUAUGAGAUUAUGCAACUCCCGUUUACCGGAGGAACACUUUGUGUGCCACCAAACGUCACAACGUAACUGGGUGAUUAUAAAGGUGCUCUACAGGUGUCUCCGAAGGUACUUGUUGGGUUGGCGUAUUUCGAGAUUAGGAUUUGUCACUCCGAUUGUCGGAGAGGUAUCUCUAGGCCCACUCGGUAAUGCACAUCACUUAAGCCUUGAAAGCAUUGAAACUAAUGAGUUAGUUGCGGGAUGAUGUAUUACGGAACGAGUAAAGAGACUUGCCGGUAACGAUAUUGAACUAGGUAUUGAGAUACCGACGAUCGAAUCUCGGGCAAGUAACAUACCGAUGACAAAGGGAGAAACGUAUGUUGUUAUGCGGUCUGACCGAUAAAGAUCUUCGUAGAAUAUGUGGGAGCCAAUAUGAGCAUCCAGGUUCUGCUAUUGGUUAUUGACCGGAGACGUGUCCCGGUCAUGUCUACAUAGUUCUCGAACCUGUAGGGUCCGCAUGCUUAAAGUUACGAUGACAGUUGUAUUAUGAGUUUAUAUGUUUUGAUGUACCGAAGGUUGUUCGGAGUCCCGGAUGUGAUCACAGACAUGACGAGGAGUCUCGAAAUGGUCGAGACAUGAAGAUUGAUAUAUUGGAAGCCUAUGUUUGGAUAUCGGAAGUGUUCCGGGUGAAAUCGGGAUUUUACCGGAGUACCGAGGGGUUACCGGAACCCCCCCGGGACUUAAUGGGCCAUGGUGGGCCUUAGUGGAGAAGAGGAGAGGCGGCCAGGGCAGGGCCGCGCGCCCCUCCCCCCUAGUCCGGAUAGGACAAGGAGAGGGGGGCGGCGCCCCCCCCCCCUUCCUUCCUCUCUUCCACCUCUUUCCCCCUCCUCUCCUAAUCCAACAAGGAAAAGGGAGUGGGAGUAGGACUCCUCCUGGCGCGCCCCCUCCUGGCCGGCCGCACCUCCCCCGUUGCUCCUUUAUAUACGGGGGCAGGGAGCACCCUAGGGACACAACAACUGAUCAUUUGAUCUUUUAGCCAUGUGCGGUGCCCCCUUCCACCAUAGUUCACCUCGAUAAUACUGUAGCGGUGCUUAGGCGAAGCCCUGCGUCGGUAGAACAUCAUCAUCAUCACCACGCCGUCAUGCUGACGAAACUCUCCCUCAACAGUCGGCUGGAUCGGAGUUCGAGGGACGUCAUCGGGCUGAACGUGCGCUGAACUCGGAGGUGCCGUGCGUUCGGUACUUGAUCAGUCGGAUCGUGAAGACGUACGACUACAUCAACCGCGUUGUGCUAAACGCUUCCGCUUUCGGUCUACGAGGGUACGUGGACAACACUCUCCCCUCUCGUUGCUAUGCAUCACCAUGAUCUUGCGUGUGCGUAGGAAUAUUUAAAAUUACUACGUUUCCCAACAAAAUGACCUAUUGGGUGUCGCAUUCUAGGAAAUCUACCCUGUUCUGAAGGCUUGUGUAGAUGAAUUAUUUUCAAUGUGGAAAGAUAUACUUGUACACGUCGCGCCUUCGCCCGCUAAGAGCGGCUAAGAAGCAUGAUCACCUAGAGCACCAUCACUGGAUUUAACCAGAACAAAAGGCAAACAAUUUUAUACAUGAAUAUCUAUAUGACUGCAGUCAGAACUAAAAGUACCCGAUUUUAAAUAUGGGUUGGGUGGCCUGCAGGAGUGUAGUAAACAUAAAUUUGGCCGGUCAGCUUCUAUAGGGAAUGCAAAACACUUAAGAAAUAAGAAACAGAGAACAUCUAAGCAGAAAUAAGGUACAUGUUUGCUUACGAAUGGUACUAACAUGAUAUAUUUUCUGCCCGCCGGUAAGUUAUCAAGCAAGAUCAUCAAAUGUUUCUUUGUAGACCACAUUGUGAGUAUUGCCAACAGUUUUCAGGAGAGUUAUUUUCAGUCAAAGCUGGAAGAUGAAGACUGACUAAGAAAUACUCACAUCAGUCAAAAUAAAAAUCCUGGGCUGAAAAUUUGAGAUGUACAUAACUACUACAAUCUAGCAACGAACCCAUACUCUUUUUUUAUUAUCACUGCUGCUUUUUGACACUCAAGCGGACAUUUGUAUUGGCGACUAUAAGAAAACUGGAAAAUAUAUUAGAUAGAGCGGGCGGUGAGGUCCCAGGUGGGGGGAGUGGGGGAGGCGGCGGGGUGGCACUCGGUAGGCAGAGCGACCGACGGCGGUGUGGUCGCAUGCGAAAUCAUAGUCAGAACUUUGCAUUUGAAGGUACACGCUCAGAGGAAUUUUUUUUUUGCUCAGUGCCAAAAGUAUCAAAUGCCUAAAAUUGAAAAUCACAUCCUGAACUGAGCAUUUUAUUGAGAAUCGGCAAAAUAAGUUAAAGACAACAGUACGAGAACAGGUGAACGGUGAUCUGAUUUCAACACAAAAUACUCAUGAAGAAAUAAAAUGGGUGGACAGUGAUUUGGUUUCUAAGCAUAAAACUGAUCAUGUUUAUGCCACACAUUAAGCACAUAAUGUGUGCGUAUUUGGAGCCUGAAACAUCUACCAACUAAAACUACUCCCAAAAGCAAUCUUCAAGUUCAAUCUUAAGAUGUAACACAUAAAGCUACAGACUACAAUUUUGAUGCACAGAUUUAGCUCACUCAAUUCAGUUUAGAGAGUACCCACACCCAAUUCUGGAAAAAAUAAUGCGAGGCCCAAUCCUCCGCUGCAUCAAGCAUCAACCAUCAUGAGAUUGAUUCCUUAAUUGAUCUGAAAAGAGUUGCUUGGAUUAAUGUACUGUUAGAACUUGAUAUUGGAGGAAAGGAGGGAUAAAACCUUGAGGAGCUGCAUGUCCAUUGCGUCCUUGACGGCGGCGACCGUGGUGGAUGGGGAACUCCCAUGGCGUGCCCAACUGCAUCUCCAGCAGAGGAUAUGAAGAGAAGGUGAGGUGUAGGGGCAGCGAAUCUCGGCCAAGAAGGAAGGAAGGACGAACCUGGGACCACCGGAGACGCGCCGGCGAAGCCAUGCCCGAAACCCUAGCCAUGGGUGUGUGGUUGCGAGCGGGCUGUAGAGGCCGGGAGCAGAGAGUCUGGAUGGAGGGGAGGGAGGCGCGGACCGUGGGAAGCUUGGGGCGUGCCGCGCUGCGCCGGAGGCGCUGGAAGCAGCCGGCAUGGGCGGCGGCGGCGGCGAUGACUUCAUGGGCAGAGGGAGAGGAGGCGAACCGGUGUGCUCUCUGUGUGGUUGUGUUUUCUUUUUUCUUUACAAAACUGCUUGGAGCGCGCAUUUAAUUGUCCAAACGACAGGGUGUUUUACACAAAAAUGAACCGUUUUUCCAGAGUGCCACUUAAACAGGGACUGCGGGUUGAUUUCAAAGAAAUAGAGGAGUUUUUUCGCAAAAACACCUGCGACGUACGCCCAGCAGCAAUGCGUGGUUUAUUAGUAGGUAGAGAUUAUUAUUAUUAUUAUAUAUAUAUAUAUAUAUAUAUAUAUAUAUAUGACAAAUUUUUCCUUCUACCGGGUGUAGUUACUCCCACUUUUGUUUACGUUCUAGGUAGUAUCUAUUAUAUCGGAGAGUAUGUACGCAUAGUAUGUAGUAUGUAAGAAUUGUUUAGGUAGUAUAUAUACUAUUUUUUAUGUAGUAUGUAGUAUAUUUUGAGCAUACUUCUUUUUACGUACAAAUAUGUACGUAUUUCACAAAUAUUAUAAAAACAUGAGCUCACAUGCAAUUUUUUCACAUAACUCACUUUAAAGUAUAUUAGAUAUAUUAUAUGAACAUACUAAAAAUAAUAAAGUAGAGUAUAUAAUACCACAUAGUAGUAUAUGAGAAAUGAGUGUAACUACACCCGGUAGUAGGAUGCAUUUUCCAUAUAUAUAUAUAUAUGAAAAAUCCCGGUGGUAGUUACCCCACAUAUCUCAUAUACUACCAUGUGGUACUCUAUAUACUAUAUUAUUAUUUUAAAUAUGUUCAUAUACUAUAUCUAAGAUAUUUGAAAGCAAGUUAUAUGAAAAAAUUGCAUAUGAGUCCAUAGUUUUUGUUAUAUUUGUGAAAUACGUACAUAUUUAUACAUAGAAAAGAGCAUACUCAAAACAUAGUACAUACUAGCCAAAAAUUAAUAUAUAUACUACCUAAUCAUUGUUAUAUACUACAUACUAAACGUACAUACUCUUGGUUUCGACAGAUACUACAUUCAACAUACUCAUGAUCCAGCUACCCCAGCGAGGAGAGCCCCCGCGGACUACUCCGGCUAUGCAUGCCCCCUUGCCCGCGCUCCUGUCUCAUCCCUCCCCGACGAAGCCUGCCACUCCAUCUAGUUGAUGCUCCUCUGAUUUCUCUGUUUCUUACCGAUCUGAUGCCGUCGUCAAGGCCUUCGUGCACCGGCCUCCCACAAUCACACUCGACAGCGACCACCAGCCCACGUGCACGUUGGGCACUACCUGGAGGAGAUGACGACCUGCAGCUGGAGGAGGCCCCGGCCUGCAGCUGGAUCAGCGAAGAUGGCAACAGCGAAGCCGACGAACCAGUCCGCCGCGGCCACGAACACCGGCGCCGCGCUGAAGGCCACCGACUGCAGGCAGCAUGCGACGACGGCAGACAGCGUGAGCACAACGUAGGAGCAAAAGCGCAAGCAAAGAGCCAAAGACUGGGUUAGGUGAAGUUGAAACGGAUGGACUUACGACGACGUAGUGCCUGUCGCUGAUGUUCCAGCCGCCGGUGUAUGGCCGGAGCCCGUCGAGGGGGUCCUUCCGGCGCGUCCGCUCGGCCGCCAGCGGCGCGGCGGAGCGGGCGCACAAGGAGGACGCGAGGACGACGGCGAGGAGCAGGAGGAGCGCACGCCGGCGAGCUGACCCCGCCAUGGCUGCGAGUAUGAUACUGUGCACUUGGAGAUCAAUUCUGCAUUACAUAUACGAGGCAGUGAGAAGCAAAGAUUGGAGCUCGGUAGUGGUUGUGAUGUGGUGGUUCGAUUGGCUUGUACUAAUCCCAGGUCACAACACUGGUGAUUUGAACGCGUGCAUGCAUGGCAGCAUGAGCCGGGUCGUGUCCACUAAAGCAAAAAAAGGCUGGUGCAGCUUCCAGCGCCGAUGCGGCCCCUGAGCCGUCCAACUGCGACCGUCCUGCAGUCCAACCUCGUUUCCGCGCGUAGUGCCUCCUUGUCCGCUCGCUUGCUCGCCCAGUUCCUUCACGAGAAGGAGAAAAGCAAUGGCAUUUUCCUCUGAACUUUCAUCUUUAGGCUAUGGCUCUGAACAUUUUCCUGCUCGGGCAUCUCUCAUUGACCUUCGACAAAGCUUGUCAUUGACCUUCCCCCAGCAUUUCUCAUUGCUGCUGCACACGGUGCUCCCCGGUUUCCUGGCGCCUCUCCCUCGCGGUUGUUUGUGUUGUGUUCCCUGGCACCUUCCCCCGUGCUUGCACCGAACUACUGCUAGCUUUGCCUGCUGUUAAUUUGGAUGUACAGGGAAGAAGACAAGAGCAUGCGGUGAAAGAGAUAAAGAAGGGUUUGUCUAGGCGGUGUGCAUAAGGAACGUGUGGUCGGUGAGAGGACUGGAGUUUCUACCGUCCACAUCUUGCACGACCACACCGCCCACCGAUGCCGACAAGCCCCUGCACCCCUAUUGUCAUCUGCCUGUGCUGCUACACCCAAGCUCUAUCCCUCGGACCCCACGCUCGUUUUGCUGCGUUCUUCAAGAGCAUCCGCAAAACAGUUUUGUGAAUGAACGUAUGAUCUCAAAAAACUGAUACAGAGAAUGCUCUGUUGUGCUUGUACUAAUGCGCGAUUUAUUUUGGCUUUCAAAAUUUGUUUUUCUGAAGGUCAAGACGUUGUGUUGUAAAAGGUCAUGUGUGUAUUGUAUAUGUAUGUGUGCGUUUUUUUUAAAUGCAUACCUUCAUUGAUUCACCUCGGAAUGCUCUUUCAGAUGUGUGCAUUUGUAUUUGUGUAAAUGCAUAUAGCACACGAAGUAUAUAUGUAUUGUUGUGUGUAAUUUUUUUGAAUUAUAAUAGCAUGCGAAGUUCAUGUUUCAGAAAUUCAUAAGUUCACGUGUACCACAUACUGAAGAAAUUCAUCAGUGAAAAAAAGGACUACCUAGGCCAUUUCAACGACAGCAAAAAAUGCCUAAAAUUGUCGCGAGACAAAAAAACAAAUCUACAUAAGAUAUAACAUAGUAAAUUCAUAGAAAGGUGGAAAAACAUAAUUUUGUUUUGUAAGUUUAACCAUUUCUAAAAAUACCUUGAAGUUCAAAUUCAAAUAAUAGGGCGAUUCAAUGUUUAUUAUAAAUCUGUAAUUUUCCCGUUACUAUAGGAUAAACCAAGAAGGUCAAAAAUUAAAAAUGAAGCAGUUCGAAAAGUUUAUAAAAAUGAUGUUUCUAAAUUUUACUAAAAAAUGGAGAAGUUCAAAUUUUAAAAAACAAGUUCAAAAUGCUUAUUCCAAAACCAAGAAGCUCAAAUAAAAAAAUGAGCAACUCGAGACCCUUGGGCAACUCGAGACCUGCGUGACUCCGUUGGCCGAAUUGUUCCUACUCUGAUGGUAAGCUAAGGCCCAACCUGGCCCAGCAUGGAUGACGUACGAAUAGAGAGGGCCCAAUCUGGAUGCGAUCGUUCGAUGCACACAACGUGGUUCCACCUCGCAUAUUUUUUCCCUAAUAAUAAAGCACGGAUUGACUCCAAGCAAUUUGCCCAAGGCAACUACAAGGACAAGGAAGAAGAGAACGUCAUGUGUUUGAAAGAUAAAUUCUAUUCCGAUCAUGUGUUUGUUUAUUCGUCAAGCCACUUGUUGACAUUCCAAGGAACUUGCCAGCAUAUAUAAAUUGAUGGGAAUUGGUAUGAGAUAGCAACGUGGGACUAUUCUCUUAUUUGUAGUACAACUUUUUUUAGACAAAUUUGUAGUACAGCUUUUUUUAGGGAAUUUCUAGUACAGCUAAAAAGGCUCUCUCUCUCUCUCUCUCUAAACAAUUGUAAUAUUUAAUCCAAGCAAAAUUAUAUGAAUUACAAGACGAAUUGUACUGAUGUGACUUGAGUUUUGGUUGGUUUCACACGCUCAUACUUGUUUAGUUUUCUUGUAAAAUAAUAUGGCGGUAUUUAUACUAUUCAGGGUUGGUUAUUCAUCCGUCAGGUUAUUCUUGAAGCUAGCUAGUAAUCACCAUGAGUUCAGUUGGCGUUCGAAGUAAUCACCAAGCCAAUCGAAUGUGAGCAUCUGGACGUUAGCUGUGAAUGACAGACGGCUAGAUGGGCUAAUGAAGAUUAAACCUCAAGUUUUGUACGCGACAGUGCUGCAGACCUUCAGCAGUGAGACUUCGAUUAGAAGGACUUACGACGCAGCGAUACAGUCGAACGUACAAGCAUACUCGGCCUCCCCCCCUAUCUCAAGUUCUCAACGUGCCAACGUAUAUACUUAGGAAACAGAAGGAAAAAGCCCACAGUAAAAAAGCCCACACCCACUAGCGGGCCAUAUUGGUAACGUACUCCCUCGAUCUGAUCUCCUCGAGAUGCGUCUUUCGUCCGUGAUUAUCGUGCAGGGUCAACCAGCGCCGAGCAGGUGUCCCCGAUGGACCCAUCAGUUAAUUAAACGUUUUCUUUUUUCUAACUGAUUGAAAAUAUUUUUUUUCUUUGCCUUAUCCGAACACACCACUGCUGCCACUCCCCGUUCCACAGCCACUGAAUCCGCUGCGAGAGAGGAUUAUGACAAGGUGAAAUCCACCGUCCGGGCCGUGGCCGGCGGCAAGGCCGGAGAUGUCGCUGCUAGCGCCGCCCGUCUCUGACACGCUUAGUGAACUGGAGCUGUCGCGACUAGCGCGCUCCGCCGCCUGGAGUCGUGGGGUUGGAAGGCGGUGAGGCGGGAGUCGUCGCCGCUAGCUAGUGCCGCUCGCCUCCGGCACGCUGCGCUGCCUGGGGCCGUGGUCUUGGGUGGAGGCGAGAUGGGAUCCGUCGUGGCUAGCUCUGCUCGCCUCAGGCGCGCUGCGGCACACCCGUCCGUGUCCUUGGCCGGCGGCAAGAUGGGAGUCGUCGAGGCUAGUGCUGACCGUCUCCGGCGCACCAAAGGCCAGGCCAAUGUUCUGGCUGGCCUGCUCCCUGGGAGAUGGUGCCAUGGUGGAACUGCUGCGCGGUCAGCCGGUGGCCGAGAUGCGCGCAGUCGUACUAGAGGGUGCGAGCUCGAUGCAGACUCAACAGGCAAAGGUGCGUCAAGAUUCAUUAAGUCAUCUAGCUCUGUACUGGAGUAGUAGGUAACUAGCUAUCAUACUGAACUUGGAAGUAUGAGAGCUAUCCAUUUUUCUCUGCUUCUCUGCUUUUCAAUAGCACAGUACAGUGGAAAUCACAAAUUGGUGAAAGCGCCUUUGAGUAAAUGUAGUGCCCAAGACCACAUUUAAUUGGAAAACAAAAGCACAGUUACACAGCUAACAUAUCAAAAGGAAUAACCAGCAACUAAUCCAUAUUCAUGUAUAUAAAUUUAUUUGAGCAUAAAACCAUUGCGCAUCUAACAUCAAAAGGAAUGGUACGAUAAAUUAUUACAUUGCAGGGUAACUGUUUUGUAGAGCAAUCCUGAGAUACACACUUUAUAUAGAGCUAUUUAGAAGUGUUUAUCUUGUAUGUGACUUGAUUGGCUACCCAAGACCUGGAAGAACAAAGAAAUGAUUUCUUGUUAGAUAUAAACUUGAAUUGGUUGAAUAUGACAUGUGAGUGAACAAUACCUUAAUUGGCAGCUGGUCAUUUUUUAGAUGUUGGCCAUCCCGAGUCCGAGAACAUUUGGGAACUCUAGAUACAAUGUUGAUCCAAAAGUCAAUACAAGUGAAUGACAUGUGCAUGUUCAUUUUAAUUUCUAGCGAGUAACUAAUAAAAUUAUACCUGACUUGGUUGAGUGCUAGUUGGUGGCUAGUGAUUUUGAGACGUUGGCCAUCCCGAGUAUGAUGACACCAGAGAAGUCUACAUAGUGUUAAUCAAAAAGUAAAUGACACACGCAUGCUCGUCUUAAUUUUAACAAUUAACUAAACAAUUAUACCUGGCUCGGUUGAGUGCUAUGAUAGAAAUAUGGUUGUUGUGGUCGCAAACCAAGCAACUGUUGAAAACUAGUAGUGUCUGUCUGCGAUAGCGGAGGCAAGCCAUGCUGUAAAACUUGCAAAUUGUAGUUCUCAGGUUGUGGUACCGAUGUCACAUUACCCGGUAGUACAUGCAAAUUGUAAUUAUGUCCACGUGGUAAUGGGGAAACAACUUGUGGUAACGGAGGCAUAGCACGCGGCAAUACUUGUAGAUUGUAAUUCGCAACAUUUGGUACUGGAGGCAUAGCAUGUUACAAUACUUGCAAAUUGUGUUAGCAGCAUUUGGUAGUGGAUGCAUAGCAUGCUGCAUUACUUGCAAAUUAUAGUUCUCAUUUGAUAUGUUGAAGCUAGGAUUUGCUGCAGAUGAUGCAGAAGCACAAUCACCACUCUUAUUCUUGCAUGUUGCUCCUUGACCUAUUCGCAAAAGAAUUUGUUAGGUCUAUUUCAAUAACAUGAACAAAUAUUUAUGUUGCUACUUCUUGUGCAAUACCAUACCUUUCGUAUUACGUUUAUUCUUAUUUGGUACGUUGAAGCUAGGAUUUUCUUCAGAUGAUGCAGAAGCACAAUCACCACUCUUGUUCUUACAUGUUGCUCCUUGACCUAUUUGCAAAAGAUUUUGUUAGAUCUAUUUCAAUAACAUGACCAGAUAUUUAUGUAGCUAUUUCUUGUGCAAUACCAUACCUUUCGUAUUACGUUUAUUCUUAUUGUUCAAUUCCAGUCCAGAUUUAAUCCUCUUGUUGCUACUUCCUGGUUCUUUUCUCUUUAUUCCCUGUGCUUGGACUACAUUCUCAAUGUUGCAUUCAACUGGUUGCUUCUCUGCUUGUUCAUGAUUUAGUGAUUCAUCUUUUGAUUGAUUUCCAUGUAAAAUUUGGUCCACCUUUUCCAUUAGUUCAAUUGACAUACUUUGCAGUAGUGCAUAUGCCUCUUUGUUUGCUGCUGCUUUGCUCAAAAUGUUAUUGUAAGUGCGGCAUAGUGAUCCAUACUGUCUAGCUAGCACAACUCUUGCAUCUUCAUCAUCAGAGCACUUUUGAAUUGCUUCUGAUGGCCCUGAUUUUGCUCGCCUUGUCCAUCUUUUCAAGAUAUAUUCUGGUGCCAACUCCUUGAUAUUGUUGUGGUCCAACACCUUCAAUGCAUGACGACACAAUACCCCAACAAAUUCAAACUUUUUGCAUGAGCAUGAAACUUUUGAUCCAUUGGGAUCAAAUUUCACAGUAUGACAAUUUUGGCUAGCUGAAUGGGUAACCGUGAAUUCAGAAAUAGAGCCAGUACGACCACUCUCAUACACACAAUAUCCCAUUACCAUGUCAAAUUCUCCUUUAAAUAUCUCAAACAUAGCAGGUGUAUAUACUUUCGAAGUUUGUAUCAACAUCUGCACAUAUGGCACCUUCGGUGAUGUUUGACUCGCAUAGAAAUCACUUUCCACUUCAGCAUACCUUCUAUCAUCUACGGCCCUCUCAUAGUGCUUGAAGAAAUCUAAUAAAUCAAGGCGUACAUGCAGGUAUCGUUUCAAUAGUGCAUUCAUACUCUCGCUUCUUUGUGUGGAUUUCAUAUCUGCACAGAAGGUUUGUCGACCAUAAACCAAAGCCCACUUCUCCUUGUUCUGGAAUAAUCUAUGUAGCCAUUCAUUAUCUUUCAAAUUAUAUUUCACUAGCAUAUCAUUCCAACCUGCUAAGAAUUCAUCAACUUCUUCAAAAUCAUAAACACACUUGCCAAAAUCUUUCUUAAAUGUCUUUGAACCUUGGAAAACAUGACUCAAAUGUUUUGCAGCAUUCUGAUACAUGUGCCACACACAUAGACGAUGUAUUGAAUUAGUAAAAACCUUGCCAAUGGCACUAAUAAUGGCAGCACAUUGAUCGGUCAAUAUUGUAUUUGGUUCUUUUCCUGACAUGGCCCUUUUGAAUGUUUCAAACAACCAUUCAAACGUCUCAGAUGUUUCAUCAUACAAUAAUGUAGCUCCAAAAACCACUGUUUGUUUAUGAUGGUUGACACCAACAAAAGGGGCAAAUGGUCUGCCAUAACUAUUUGUCUUAAAGGUUGUGUCAAAGCAUACCACAUCACCAAAGUAGUGAUAAUCUAGUAUUGAUCUUGCAUCUGCCCAGAAUAUAUUGGUUAUCAUCUCAUCUUCAUCUACUUGUAUUGCAUAAAAGAAGGAAGGAUUUUCCAUCAGCUUGUCCUGAAGGUAUUGAAGAAUGGCACCCGUGUCUCCUUCUUGGAUGGAUUGCAUACGCUUUGAUCGGAGAUAAUUUUUAUAAUCUUUUUGACCGAAGCUAAGACACUGUCGACCCCCUGCUUGUCUACUCAUCACUUCAUGACCAGAUUUUGGUCUAAUUCCUGAAUCAUUCAAUAUGUCAAUUUGGGCCUUUUGACCUUCUGUAAUUUUUCUCUGGGAUCGCAGUAGAUGGGCUUUGCUUGGAGUUACGAGUUCAUGAUUAUGAGCAUCCUCAAAGCUGCUUACAACAUAUUUUCCGUUAGCACUUAUUUUGAUGGUCAUCUCUGCCAGACAACCAACUCUUGUAUCUGCUCUCUUUCUCUGACAUUGUUCCUUACUCUUGUCCUUGUAACCUGCCUUUGAGCAUACAUAUUUCUUUGUUCGAAUAACAUUAGUCGUCGAGGAUUUAUCAUGCCAAGAUUUCCUGACACUGAAACCUACAUGUCCUGCAUAUGUAUUGUAAAACUCAUAUGCUAUAUCAUCAUUCUCAAAUUCCAUUCCUAUCUCUGGUUUUAACCUUUUGAUGUAGUAAUCAUUUGUAUUUCCACCUGCCUCUCCCACAUUUGUGGUCUCAUGAUCUACACAACAUAAAAAUUAUCAUAUACUAAUUAGUUCAUGGAUGACACACAGAGUAAAAAUCACACGAUAUUCAGAGCCCUGGUUUUAGUGAAACCUGAAAAUCACACAAUAUUCACACAAUGAGCAUUAGCAAAAUAUUGAUCCUUUUCUUUGCUAGAACAUUCUCUAUCAUUAGAGUUAGCAAAAAGGAGAAUAUGUCAAAGGAGAAAUCUCAUGCAGUAAAGUUUAUAAUAAACUUAGGUGGUACUCUGAUGCAUAAUGUGCGCAACAUCACAGGAGUGAUCAGCACUAACAUAAUUAUAAUGCAAUUCCGAAGGAUUAAUUUGCAUGUGUUUGAAAGAAACUGGGCUACGGACCAUGAAGUACGGGGAGCUAUUUCUGAAGGAGUAAUUUGCAUGUCAUAGAUCAACUCUUUGUUUGUUUCUUUUAAUCUUAUCACCUUUGUAUGAUCAAGAGUGUUGAUAAUCUGUACAUUGCAGGUGCAAGAACAUUACCUCCGGACGAUGAACUGUGAAGAGCUCCGUCCAUGCUGAAGAACACUGUAGAUGUUGAUCCACGGAGAGGAAUAAAUUUCUAUCAAUCUUGAUCUAUUCUCCUGUGAUCCAGGGGCAACAAUGAACAAUGGAAUAGAUCGGUAGGAGAAAGGAUGAAGCCACGCAAGAGAUUUUGGCGGCAAUCUGUUGUAACGCGGGAGAGAAACAUGUCGUUUUCCUGAUUUUCUGGAACCUAACUGAUAUUAGAGAGAUACACUGGUUUUAUUAAGUGGUGGGUCCAUCGGGGACACGUGCUGGGCGCUGGUUGGCCCUGCACGAUAGUGCGUGCUGGGAACCCAGCAGGAGAGCCCGACCCGGUAUUACCUAUCUCCAGCCCCAAAUCACGCUGUUUCAUUCCGGGAUUGACCCAAGGGGGGAGGGAUUGAGAUUUCCAAUCGGGCACUGACAUCUGAGUAUCCGACAACCCUGAUGGAUUUUCUUUUCAGUGAAAAAUACUACAGUAAUUAUUCAAUUUUACUUGUUCUACUACGGAGUACAUAUUACAGGUUGCUGUCAAGUGUGAGCAGAGAUCAUCCCACAAACUGUUGAGUCUUAUGUCGACUACGGAAAAAUCCAUGCAGUCCAAGCUGUUGUCAAGUGUGAACAUGCGACGAAUAUGACUACAUACGUGAUUGCUGAACCUCUGCGUUUCAGGAUUUGACAAUAUAUGAUGUAUGUGGUCAUUGUUUUAGGUGCUCUCCUCCAGUCAUCAGGAAAACAAUUCCGUUUACACUGUCGAGAAACCGAUUUACGCCAAGUCACCAGGUCAAAGGUCUUUCUAUUUGAGCAGAUCGUUGAGUUUGGCCUGCUAUAAUUAAGAAGAGACUACUGUAUGGUUGCUCCUCAUCGGCUCUCACCUGAGUAGCCAGCACUGUCCAUUCCACGGCCAUGGUAAUUCCCCUCAUGAUACUCGCACUGAUCUUCUUGCUGCCAGCGCCCGUGCCCGCUUCCUCUCCCCUUCCUAGCAAAAAUGACACUGACCUCGCCGCCCUGCUUGCGUUCAAGGCGCAGCUCUCCGAUCCUAUUGGCAUUCCUGGUGCGAACUGGACCACCGGUACAUCCUUCUGCCACUGGGUGGGUGUCUCUUGUAGCCAGCAUCUGAGUAUCCGACAGCCCAGAUGGACGAUAACAUUUUUCAUUUCUGUGAAAAAUAUCACUAGAAUGCAUAAGACAAAUAACCAACUGCAGCUUGUGCAUCAACUUAAUAUCUAGAGUCAUUUUCGGAGGAAGUCAUGCAAUACUACUAGUCCACUUCACAAUUACAAGUUGUUGUCUAGUGUGGGCAGAGUUCAUCUCACAAUCUGUCAGAAUCUUGAGUCAGACAACGGAGAAAACCAUGCAGUCCAAGCUGUCAUCAAGUGUGAACAUGCGACAAAUAUGACUAGACCAAUGACUGCAUACGUGGCUGCCAAAUUCCUGAUUGCAGGAUUUGACAAUGAUGUAUGUUGUCGUUGUUAAGUUUGGCCUACUCUAUUAAGAAGAGAGUACUUACGGUUGCUGCUCAUAAGCUUGUACUUGAAAAAUAUAUCGAUGGAGGCACAACAAGGAAUAAUUUCUAGUUUCUUAUAAAAGAACUAUAUGAUUUGAUUUCACAUCUUUGACAAACAUCACCUUAUCAUCAACUCCACCACUUCCUAAUUGCCUUUCAUUUCAGCCACAUGGAAAGGAACAUGCCAAACAGGUUCUUCAACCAAUCUCUUGAUUGAUAUUCUGACUGGGAAACACCCGCAUGGUCACUAGUUAGUCAAUCCUUAGUCUACCCAUCCUGGUUUCCAACGACUAAACAAAGACUAGACCACCACAGUGGCCAACUGCGGGUCAACGCAUGGAGUCAAUACCUUACUUUUCUUAUCAACCUUUUCCAGUCACUGGCUAGGAUUAAGCUCAUGUACCGUGGAAGAGCUGUAUAAGUAAACCAUGUAGCAAUAGCAGCAGCCAUAUAACACUCUCCACAAAUCCCAAGCUCUUAAAUAGUGCGAGCACCCAGCACUGCCCAUGGCCAUGGCAUUUCCCCUCAUGAUACUCACACUAAUCUUCUUGCAGCCAGCGCCCGUGCUCGCUGCUCCUUCCCUUCCUAGCAACAAUGGCACUGACCUCGCCGCGCUGCUCGAGUUCAAGGCGCAGCUCUCCGAUCCUAUUGGCAUUCUUGGUCAAAACUGGACGACCGCCACAUCCUUCUGCCACUGGGUUGGCGUCUCUUGCAGUCGGCGUCGGCAGCGCGUCACCGCUCUCGUGCUACCAGGCAUGCCGCUCCAAGGGUUGGUCUCCCCAUAUCUUGGUAAUCUCUCUUUCCUCCAUGUCCUAAACCUCACCAACACAGACCUCACAGGAUCCAUCCCACCUGAUAUUGGAAGGUUGAGUCGUCUCGUCGUUCUUGAUCUUGGCCUUAACAGAUUGUCAGGAAUCAUCCCUCGUACCAUAGGAAACCUCACAAAGCUAAACUCCCUUGUUCUAGUAAAGAACGAUCUCUCUGGGAAAAUACCGCAUGAUUUGCACAACUUGGGCAAUCUUAGGCACAUAAAGCUUGGGACAAACUACUUAAGUGGCAUAAUACCAAAUCAAUUGUUCAACAACACGCCUCUGUUAGUUGGUCUUGGCUUUGGGAACAACAGCCUAUCAGGGCCAAUACCACCCGGUAUUGCUUCCUGUCCCAUGCUUGAGUACCUCAACUUGCAAGCAAAUCAGCUUUCUGGCCCGGUACCUCCAACAAUUUUCAACAUGUCCAGAUUACAGAUUAUGAGCCUCGUGGGCAAUCGGUACUUAACAGGAUCCAUCCCUAGCAAUCAAAGCUUUAGUUUGCCCAUGUUGCAACGGUUCCUUAUUGGUCGCAAUAAUUUCACAGGUCGAAUUCCAUCAGGACUUGCAUCAUGUAAACACCUCAGAGUUGUUUAUCUAUCCGAAAACUCCUUUGCAGACUUCGUCCCAACAUGGCUCAGUAAAUUGUUGCAUCUCACUAUCCUUAAUUUAAGUGGAAAUGACCUCAUCGGUUCAAUUCCAAGUGAGCUCAGCAAUUUGACUAUGCUCAGUGUGCUUGACCUCUCACGUUGUAGUCUGAGUGGAAAGAUUCCGGAUGAAUUAGGACAAAUGAGUCAACUCACGCUUUUACACCUUUCAGAAAAUCAACUGACAGGGUCCUUUCCAGCUUUUGUUGGUAACCUAUCCCAACUGUCUAGACUAUUACUAGAAUCAAACUAUUUAACUGGAGCAGUCCCAACAUCUAUGGGGGACCUCAGAGCCCUUGAGUGGUUUGAUAUUGGAAGCAAUCCUCUUGAGGGAACACUUGAUUUCUUGGCCACUUUCUCCAACUGCAGACAACUCCGAUACCUUGCCAUAUACAACUGUUCGUUCACCGGGAUCAUUCCUGAUCACAUUGGAAACCUCUCCAGAAGCUUGACACACUUUGAUGCAGGCACUAAUCAUUUAACUGGAGGUUUCCCAGCACCAAUAUCAAAUCUAAGUGAUCUAAAAGUAAUAAUCCUUUAUGAAAACCAAUUAAGAGGCCUAAUCCCUGAAUCCAUAACACUAUUGAAGAAUCUCGAGGCACUUGAUCUAACCGGGAAUAGCCUUUCUGGCUCAAUCCCAUCACAAAUUGGUACCUUAAAUAGAUUGCACAUAUUAUCUCUCCAAGAAAAUAAUUUUUCUGGUGCCAUACCAAAUGGUAUUGGUAAUCUAAGUAUGCUAGAAAUCAUUUCACUAGCAUAUAACCAGCUGUCUUCAACCAUACCUGAAAGCUUAUUCCACCUCAGUAACCUUCGUCAAUUAUUUCUAUCUAACAACUCCUUCACCGGUGAAUUGUACUCUGAUCUUGGUUCCAUGGAAGCAAUAGACACGGUAGAUAUAUCUGCCAACAGCUUGGUUGGUAGCCUUCCGACUUCAUUUGGACAACAUGGACUGUUAAGCUACCUUGAUCUAUCACACAACAAGCUGCAAGGUCCAAUCCCAGAAUCUUUCAAAAAGUUAGUUAACCUAGGGGCAUUGGACCUAUCUUUAAACAACCUUUCUGGUACUAUUCCGAAGUAUCUGGCCAACUUUACUUCUCUGACUAGCUUGAACCUCUCUUUCAAUAAGUUCCAAGGUGAAAUACCAGAUGGAGGUAUUUUCUCAAAUAUCAGUGCGGAAUCUUUGAUGGGAAAUGCCGGAUUGUGUGGUGCCCUGCGUCUUGGAUUUUCACCAUGCCUUGGCGAUUCUCACCCAACCAACAGACACUUGCUAAGAUUUGUGCUCCCGACUGUCAUAAUAACAGUUGGGGUUAUAACAAUUGUCUUAUGCCUAAUGUUCAGAAAGAAAAAUAAGCAGCAGCCAAAUGUUGCGACUUCUCUUGGUAUGGCUGAUCCGACCAGCCAUAGAUUAGUAUCCUACCAUGAGAUUGUUCGUGCCACUGAAAAUUUCAACAUGGACAACCUACUUGGAGUUGGAAGUUUUGGCAAAGUUUUCAAGGGCAAACUGGAUGAUGGUUUGGUGGUCGCGAUAAAAGUGCUCAACAUGCACUUUGAGCAGGCCGUGAGGAGCUUUGAUACUGAAUGUCAAGUGUUGCGGAUGGCUCGGCAUCGCAACUUGAUACAGAUACUGAAUACCUGUUCCAACUUGGAUUUCAGAGCUCUGCUGCUCCAGUACAUGCCCAAUGGUAGCUUGGAGGCACAAUUGCACUCUGGAAAUAGUGAACCACUAGGAUUCAUCAAGAGACUGGACAUUAUGCUUGGCGUGUCGGAGGCAAUGGAGUAUCUGCACCAUCAUCACGGUCAAGUUGUCCUACACUGUGACCUGAAGCCUAGCAAUGUGUUGUUUGAUGAGGACAUGACGGUGCACGUCGCUGACUUUGGCAUUGCGAAGUUACUUCUUGGCGAUGACAACUCCAUGAUCUCAGCAAGUAUGCCAGGGACAAUCGGGUACAUGGCCCCAGGUACGUACUUGCUACCACAUGCCAGCAAGCCUUGCAAAGGCACAACUAUCCCAAUGAAUUUUUUUCGUGGGUUAGCUUAUCACUUUGGUUAGCUCAUCCUAAUGAUUUUUUUUCUUGAACAGAGCUUGCAUACAUGGGUAAGGCUUCACGGAAGAGCGACGUGUUCAGCUUUGGGAUCAUGCUGCUCGAAGUCUUCACCGGGAAGAGGCCCAUGAAUCCCAUGUUUAUCGGGGAAUCCAGCCUCAGGCAGUGGGUUUCCCAAGCAUUUCCAGCAAGGCUCGUCGUUAUCGUUGAUGAGAAGCUGCUGCAGGGUGAAGAGAUAAGCAGCCAUGGCUUUCAUCAGCAGACCAAUAUUCCUCCAUCGGCAUCGCCUUCCACCGCCUCCAACACAAACUUUCUUGUAUCGGCGUUUGAGCUGGGUCUGGAGUGUUCGAGCGACUCACCUGACCAUAGGCCAAGCAUGGACGAAGUGGUCGUGAAGCUGAAGAACAUCAAGAAGGAUUGCUCUGCUUCCAUGGCAGCAAGGCUGGGGGUUCCGCAGCGUUGAUCAAUGCAUCGGGUUUUUUUCAUCCAUGGAAAAUAUGGUUGUGCUGCUAAAUAUUUCAGCAACAUCUGAAUAUUUGUAACGGAAGUUGGUUGUAAGCAAGUAAGCAACAGACAGUCAGUAGCUCCUGAAUCCUUGUAAUUUCAUUCAGUUGUAAUCAACAAUCAAACAGUCAGAAGCAGCAGCAAUUGAGUUCUCGUAACUGUAGUAAUGGACACACCAGUCUAUUGACUUAUUGUAAGUGCAAUACACACAGUUCAUUGCAAGUAAUACAAUUCAUGAGACCGAUGCAACAAUGCCUGCACAAUGAUGUGGCUGAUGAAGUAUAUUUAAUGGGAUAUAAGUGCAUAUAAAUGCCUGGUCUGUGGGAUUGUAGCACCUCACUCAGCCAAGAAACUGCCCGAUGAUCCUAGAUCAGUCAUAACAUCAGCCAAUGCACCGUCCAGAGCACUCCGGGUAGAAGAACAGGUAUAUGCGAGAAAACAAACUUUACCCCCAAUGCUCUCCCCCUAUUUGAUACCUCAAAAUCUAUGCCUGUGAAACAUGUUCCUCAACCAAUAGCGGUUCAAAUGUAUGUGCCAUGGUAUGUUCAUCGACUAAUUAAUGUUAUCAAUCGAUUGGAAAACAAGUCACAUUCUUUUAUAGUCAUCGAUGUUUCUUGAAGUAACUGGUUCAUCGAUGUUUCUUGAAGUAAUACAAAUCACUCUAAGUAAUACUCUCUCCGUCCCAAAAUAAGUGUCUCAAGCUUAGUACAAUUUUGUACUAAAGCUAGUACAAAGUUGAGACGCUUAUUUUGGGACAGAGGGAGUACGAUUCAUUAGGCCGACGAUCAGGUGUCCAAGUCUGCAUCCUACUCAUCUUGGCUGACAUCCUGCACUUGGUUCUGGCUGAACCUUUAUUAUGAACUCUCUCAGGUGGCUAACGCUCAGGUGUCCAAGUUGUAAUUGUGCAGUCUGCACGAUGGAGCAGGAGCACGUAGACAGUCUUUGUCCAGACUGAUCUCUCAGCUGGUUAUCUCCUAGCCUCAUUUCCUGGUGCUAGCCCGAUUAGCCUCACGUAGACAGGUUUAUUUAAGCUUCGACAUCUAGCUCUCAGCUCCAGAGACCUCCCGCUCAGACCCCCUGCUCGCCGCCCUUAGCUCAUGCCGCCGCUGACCAAAUGACAUAUUCAAUAUGUAGCUUGCAGACAAACAAAAUAUUUGCACAUAUUUGAAGAUUUGAUUUAGCUUCAACCUUUGAAUCCACAAGUGCAGGUGUACAUAAAUAGCAAGAUGCUGGUACUACGCUAUCAUGCCUGUUGUUCUUUCGUUUUGUUUCUCCGAAUGAAGGCAAUGUUAAUAACACAAUUCGACAUGUUGUUGCAAUUUCCACAUGGGGUUAAUACCCACGAAAAAUGUAUGGAUCACUAACCACCACUAAUUUACCGAUAACCAAUCAUUGAAUAGCAAGUCUCCAGCAAAAAUUGAGUGAGGCCACACUAAAGUUAUCGGCAAGAUUUAAAAGAAACAUAGCAAAAGGUUUGCAUUUUUCACUGAUUAAGGAGUUUCAAGCACAAAAAGAGAACUAGACAUAAAAGGCUAAUAAAGCAUACUCUCCAGACAUAGAGUUACGCAUGUUCUGCUCCCGCACUAUGCCAAUUUGCCAAUUGAUCCUUGAUCAAAAGACUUUAUUUGAAUAGAAAAGCCUCUUGUCCAUUUUAUAUUGAUUGGCGUAAUAUGGAUAUAAUGUUUUGAGAGGAUGUUGAGUUGUACCUUUCUCAUCUUCUGCAUGUAGAAAACAAAAUCAAGAGCGAUUUCCUGUCAUGACAUAACAGUAGGAAAUAUUAUAAUGAUUUUACAGUGCCUAUGUUCUAAUGUGAUCAGCAGAAAACAUUUCAAUAGGCAAUCACCAAAACAUGACAUUGUGGUUUUUUUGUGUACUUUGCCAAUGUAAAUGUGAUUCAAUCUUAGACGACUAAGGAGUCGAAAAAAACUACCAUGCCAAAAAUGAUGAGAAUUUAAUCUUAUCCUUUCAUUGAUCGAGAGCAAUUUAGCAAUGUAAACAUGCUACAUGUAUCAUGUUUUAAAAAGAAUGUAAAGAUAUUUAAUUAUGUCAUCCCCAAGUACAGUGGCAACACAUUACUGAGCUUGAGAUGGUGCUUCUGAGACUAGAUCUGGGAACGCAGCAGAUUUCAAACUCAGGUCCCCUGGGCUUAUUCACACAGACGGUCAUGAAAUCCAUCAAAGAUGGGGUAUUUUCCCCGUCAAUAAUGGAUGUACAUUUUCACAAAAAAAUGGAUGUACAUGGGUUGUUAAUCACGUGUUUCUUUCAUACACAGAAAAAAGUGUAACUAUAAAGAACAUUAUUUUCUGAGUUGUUUCCAUCUAACAAAUCUUGUACGAUAGAAUUAUUAUUAUUAUUUUAUCUGGUGAUUUUUUUUGCAAUGGAAACAAAUUCUAAAAUAAUUAUGACCAGGCUAUUGUUAUAAAGCCAUUAUUCCCUUGUUAUUAUUUCCUCAUUUGAACGAUGUGCAAAGCAUUAAUAUUAAACUCAUAAGGUGUAAUACUAAACUCAAUAAGGUGUUAUGGUUGGAAUUCCCCACCACACAGGCUUAAGAAGGGUGGUCCGGAUUCGUUCCGGUAAGUCCACCACCCAUGGUGCAAGACAAUUGAGCCAAAAAGGAUUCACCAUUAUUAUCAUUAAAAUGGAUCACAAAUGAGAAGUACAAAUUGCAUAUACUUUCAUUAGAAAAAUGAUGUCAAACAGAACUACAAUUAGUGAAGAAAGUAAAUGAACUAAUGUAGACUUAUAAAAAUCAGUGAAUGACUAAUAAUGGGAAUGCAUAAAUAAGUAAUUUAAUAAGAUAAAAUUACAUAAUGUUAUCAAGAACAUGAGUGCAUUUCUUUCUCACAAACUAUUUGUAAAUAACAAAUCCUGUAUGACAGAAAAAAACCGUGUGAUGGAAACAUUUUGUUACUGUAACAGGAAAUUAAGAGCAGGCUAAAAGUUAUAAACAAUUUAUUGCUUAUGAUUUAAUUCCUCUUAAGAACAAUGGGAAAAAUCUAAUUGAUAUUAUCUGCCCCGCUAAGAGGUAAAUACUUGACUCAUAUUUAGGAAGGAUCUAAGGUCGUUAUGGUGGAAUUGAGUUGAUCCCGGUACAGUUUGUCGAUAUUAUAUCAUUAAAAUGGAUAAAGAAUGAGAAGAGCAAACUGCAUAAAUUUUGAUAAACAAAUACAAUGUAAUAAAAACUUAAUUAGUGAGUUCUGAAAAAAAUCACUAGAUGACUAAUAUUUGAAAUGCAUAAAUGACUAACAUAACAACUUAAAAUUAUAUAAGUGAAAACAAAGAGAAACAAGCAAAUACUUUCACCAAAUUUAUACUCCUAUAAAGUAAAAAAAAAUACACAAGGAUAUGAAUACACACACGCGCGCGCGCGCACACACACAUGUUGCAUGAAUGUGUGAAAUAGUAUAUUUACCCCUGUUGUUUGUGGGAAAUCCAGUUUGGGCUUGUUUCGAUUCAUAUAGAUUUCUCUCUUCACUGCAUUUCUCAUAUUUCGUAUCUCAUUGCCGUCUUCACCAUUUCUGAACUCAACAUUGAUAUGCUCAAGUGAAGAGAGAUUCUCUAAACCGAACAUAGGAGCACCAAACUGAACCAAUGAGUUAGGGACAUCUUUAAAUUCUAACCGCAGGGUUUGGAGACUUUGCAUGGCUCCCCGUGCAAACAUUAACUCCAUGGUUUCACUCUCGACUCUGAACCUCAUUAGACAUUGAAAUAGGUAGCGACCGUCAAUGACCAGCCGUUUAUCUCUGCCUUGUGUAGGUUUCUUCACUUGUAUGUGCAGUUCACUGAGAGACAGUAUACUGCCUAAGACUUGAAGAUCCUCCUCUCCCAGUUCAAGUCUGAUACUUAGGGAAAAGAGGCAACACAUGGAGCAGAUCCACCUUGGCACUGCACAAGUGAUGCUAUCAAGCAUGUGGAGUAACAACAGACGUGUUAACUGAAUAAUGGUUGACGGCAGCUUUUCAUCUAUUUCAGUGGACCUUAUGUCCAACACUUCAAGAAAUUGCAGAUCCGCAAUACCUUUCGGGAUCUUAGUGAUAGAUGUACCUUUUAAACUCAAAUAUCUCAAGUGAAACAAACUGCAUAUAUCCUUCCAAUGAUUAUUAUCCACUUGCUUGCAGUCAGUUAAAUCCAGCACACGUAGGAUUGGAAAACCCGUAAGUGCUGGCAACAAACUGAAAGCGAGACUAGACACAGUAAGUGCCCUUAUAUAGGACAAGCUCAUGGUUGGAAGCUGAUUAGCAACCUCUUCAAUGUUGGUCUGGACAGACAGUCGGCGGAUUUUACUUGGUAGAUAGACUGGUUGCUGACAACCUACUAUCGUUACGAAGUUCUCCUCAGUUGACAAGGAAGUGAUGAGGUCACGCACCAUGUCGUGUAUGCGACAAGAGUGUACUUUAUUCCCAUUGUCGAUUUUUACAGGUUGGACCAAACUUUUAUUAAUGAGCUGGUCAAAGUAAUCCUCUCCUACUUCACAUAAGCUCCUCCCAUGUUCUUUUUUCACAAAACCUUCACCCACCCAUUUCCAUAUCAACCGUUCAGUUUGAAUCUCAUAAUCCUCUGGAUACAAACAAAGAUGCAGUAUACAAGUCUUGAGGUGUGGAGGUAGGUCAGAGUAACUGACGGAUAAUAUCCUCCUCAUGUUCUUCACAUCAUCAUGACCAUUGUCUAACCCUGAACCCAAUGAUUUGUACACCUUGGACCAAUACUCUUGUGUAUGUUCUCUUUCCGUUUUGCUGGACAGCAAGCUACCUAUUGUAAUGAUAGCUAACGGCACUCCACCACAUCUUCUUAAAAUUUUCUCAGAUAUUUCAAACAAUUGAUUAGGUGGUGAUUUGUUCUCGGUCUCAUAUAUUCUUUGGUGGAACAACUUUCUUGAGUCAACAACAGAAAGUGGUUCCAGCCGAUAAACAUCACCAGCUUGCUCGGCAAUAUUAAGAAUGCGAGUUGUUGUGAUUACUCUACUUGCAUGCUCAUUCACUGUCAACGAAUAUUUGAUGUUUUCCCAGACAGAUUUAUCCCAUAUGUCGUCAAUAACAAUCAAGUACCUUCAAUUAAUAUCAAAACACAUAUAUUAAGAUUUAAAAGUCUAUAUAAGCUAUCAUAUUUCAAGCAGAAUUGAGCUACUUCAUCAGGGCUAAGCAAAUGCAAAUUCAGAGUCUGUAGCACUGCAGUUUCCCUGUGACGUCCAGAUACGAAACAAUGAGGGAGGAACACACACGCAUAUACGUACUUCUUGUUUUCAAGAAAUGUUCUUAUCUCACUGAUGAGUUGUGCUUCGCCCCAUGCAGCCUCGUUGAUAUUCUCGUACUUUUGCUUGUGAAGUUGAUGGAGCAAGCUCUUGAAAAUUUUCUCCAUGUUAGGAUUAAGAGACAAGGAAACGAAAGCCGUAAAAUCGAAAUGCACUUUAAGCUUCUCAUACACUGUAUUAGCCAGGGUUGUCUUUCCUAAUCCACCAAGUCCAGCAAUAGAGACCACCCGAAGCUGUUCCUUGGAAAUCUCAUCUCCCUCAGUCAGCAUCUUGAUUACCUCAAGGCUCUUCUUGUCUGUGCCAACGAGGUUGGUUGCCUUUUUAUACAAGGUUGAUAGGCGAAGGGCAUCAACAGUUUGUCUGGUUGGCUUGGUAACCACACUGUCAACCUUGUACCUAUAACGGCGCUCGCUGACCUCCUUGAUACGGCUCUUGAUAUCUUUGAUAUCGAUGCCGAUCUUGUGGUGAAUCUUGCCCUUGGUCAGUAGGCUGAGACUCUUAUCAAUGAAAUUCCUGAAGCUAUGCGACUUCUCUGGUUCAUGGGUUUCGAUGCGCACCAUGAACUUGUCGAUGCUGUCUUCGAGGUCGUACGACAGGUCCCUCACAGCCUUGGCCCAAAGCUUGACUUGGAUGUCCGGUGGCUGGUCGAUCGGUGCCUCGGAAACCUUGAGGAGAGCCGUCUGCAUGCUCUCCAUCUCGGCUUUGAGGAACAUGAUCUCGCCCCUGACACCCCUCUGAAGGUUGUACUCCUUGGUUAUUAGGUCAGCUAGCUUGGGCAUGAGGGUGCCCUUCGCUCCAAUCACGGCCUAGGCCAUGCUCGGCUUGAGCUCUAGCUCAGCCUCUCAGCAUGCUGCAGAUGUUUGCGGAAGCAGAAGAAGGGAGAUGGUGGUGGCAAUCUGCUCUGCUGCGUGGAUGAAGCUUCGUCUUGCACUACACCACGUAAAGAAUCACAGAAUGAGUAGUCAGGAGCUAACAAGUCAAAAGUUCAGAAUGAAUUCAAACAGACCGACAUCUUGCCUGAGAGAGGUGAGUGCACUGAUGGAAAAAAAUUGGGGAAUCUAAAGCUGGGCCUUAGAUUCAGAGAAGAGAUGGAGCAAUCUGAAAGAAAAGAAAAAGGUGGUAACUGAAUCGUUUGCGAAAGCAAUAAUUUCAAGACAUUCAUCAUAUGACAAGCUGACAACACUUGAGAUCUUUUCUGGGUAACAUGAUGGAACUUAACAGCAUCCGGAACAUGAUUAAGCAUCCUGAACAUGACUAAGUAGUCCUCAGCUGUUGCAGUCAUGGCUGAACUGCUCUCGGCCUUUCGCUUGGUUUUCUUUGUGAGUUCCCCUCGGUAAGCUCUCUUUUGUACUUCCUAGCCUAAGCAUAUACCAUGGGUCAACGUUGACACACAACUUAGCCAUACAUUCGACUUAAAGAGGUGCCACAUGGCACCGCGGUUAGGUUAAGCCAGCCGUUAUCCCGCUUUUUUUCGCCGAGAGCCACGGCUUUAUACUCGGCUUAUAUAUAAACUAAGUACCGGUGAAGUGACACUCUCCUUACAGUGCCUAAGUCGAUACUCCCUCCGUCCCAAAAUAAAUGACUCAAGUUUGUACUAACUUGGUACUAAAGCUAGUACAAAGCUGAGUCACUUAUUUUGGGACGGAGGGAGUACAAAUUAAGCCAAGUACUAUAGCCGAGUGUUGUCUUCCCCGAGUAUGUUUCAUACUCGGCUUUAUUUUUUUCCCCUGUAGUGUAGCACUAUAAAAUAUCAAUCUUAGAGAGAGAUAUAGGGUUUACAAGUCAUGUGCUUGCUAAUAAAUAUUGACAAGAUAUUCAAGUAGUAAGACGACAUAUUAUCCAAUAAUUCGCAAACAUAGGAAAAUAUAAUAAUCUAUGGUGUAUUUUCAACAUCGCCAACCAGAAGCCAAAUCAAUUUGAACUUGGAAAAUUUCAAUUCUGCCGUCUGAAUGUUGGAACAGGAGCAUGUUAGACUGCUUCAGCUGAGCCCUGUGGCUAUCUCCUCAAGAUCAGUGGCUUCAUUUCCAGAAGCAAAGACAGGUUUAUUUAAGCUUCCACAGCAACCUCUUAUCUCUAGUUUCCUAGUGAAUCGAGAUACUGGGUGAAUGUUUCUAUCUUCUGCUUCUUCAGCUGACCAAAUGACACAGUUAGGUGGUUACUAGACGAAUAAAAUCUUUGCAAAUUUAUUUGAAUCCACAAAAAAGCAGGUGUACACAGUAAGGUGCUGGUAUUACACUAUUCCUCUUUGUGAGUAAGCGGAAAAAAAUACAAUUACUUUAUCAAGCAUGUUAUUGUUUCCAUCCCUGAGUGAGGUGAGAUCCCUUGCAUGCUUGAAACAAAUUACAAAUGACGUCAAUGUUGUGGAUUUUUCUGUAUCGGGUAAUAAAAAAUUAUCGACUUCACUAGAAGACUAUUGGUACAAUAGCAAGCCUCUAACAAAUAAUUGAGAUAGGCCAUGUUCAAGUUUUCAGAAAGUUUUUUGGGUGCUUAAAAGGCUAGCCAUAUAAGAUUAACAUUUUUUCAAUCAUUAAGGACUUUCAAGUGUAAUACUAAAGAUAUUGAUAAAAGGCCAACAAAAGCCUACUCUCCGUGCAUGGGGUUACAAGUGUUUUUGUUCUGUCCUUGACCAGAAUGACUUUAUUUUGAAUAGAAAAACAUCUUCUCCAUUUGAAUAUAAUAUAAUUGGCUUAAUUUGCAUAUAAUGUUUUGAGAGGAUGUUAAGUCGUACCUGUAAAUAGAAUCUCUUGAUGAAUUCCUCAGCAUGUUCCUAUCAAACAAAAAAUGAAACAUUAUAAUGUUUCGUAGUAUCUAUGUUUUAGUGUGAUCAGCAGAAAACAUUUCAACAAGCAAUCAACAACAUAUCAUGACAUUCUGGUUACGCAUGUGUACUUGGUUAGCAUAGAAGUGUCAAUCUUAUGUGACGAUUAAGAAUUUAACAAAGCUCUAUGAUACCCUACAUAUACCUCUCCUCGAAUGAAUGAUAGGCAUGUAAUCUUACUCUUGCAUUGAUCAGGGACAAUUUGGCCAUGUAAGAACGCAAAGCGUAAUAUGUUUUAAUAUGAAUGUAAACAGAUUUAACUAUCUCAUCGUAGUGUAUACGAGGGACUUCUGAAGUUAUCCCAUAUAUGCUAUAUCUAGAAAUAUGUUUUCCUUCAGACAAACCUAGACAAGCUUCAAUGGUACCAUGACUUUGGCACGUCUCCAAGCGACAAAAUGCUUGGGGCACGUCAUCUCAGUGGUAUCCAAUCCGGCAGCAGUGUGUCUCCGAGAUCAUGAUGGUGCUUCAGAGAUCAGAUACCAGGCAACAAGAGCAGAUCGAGCCCACGGCCAGCUGUCUGGUAGUUUUAUUGUUGCAUUUUGAUCUCCCUAUCUCGCAUAGGUAUCAAUCAUGGCUGUAGUCAUAAGUGACAGAGAUGUUCUAACAGUCGUGAAAUCUGUCACAGAUGGAGGGUAUUUCACCCGUCAUCAAUAGAUGUAUGUGUACCAGUGGACAUUUUGUAAUCUCGUGUUGCUUUAUUAUGCAGCAAAAACAAAUCUGUCAGAGAUAGAGAACAUUUUGCCCUUCACUAAUAGGUGUAUCUGUACUAGGUAAUCACGUGUUGCCUUAAUAUGCAGCAAAAAAGGCACAAUAUAAGCAUUAUUUUCCAAGUUAUUUCGAUGUUACAAAUCUCACGUAAUAGAAUUAUCGUUUCUCCGUCUGAUUAAAAAAAGUUUCGUGCAACAGAAACAGGUCAUAAAAUAACUUCCUUGUUAGGAAAAUGUGCAAAGUCUAGUUAAUAGUGAAUAGUAGCUUAUGCAUAAGAUGUAACACUAAACACAUAUUAUCUCAUUAGAUAACAUGUUAUAGUGGGAAUUUGCUACCAUAUGGGCUUAUGAAGGGUGGUUCGACUUCGUUCUGGAUAGUUCACCACCCAUGCUUAACCGUUGGUAGAGGUCCUCAUAUGCUCGACUCCUUGCUUCACCAACAGCUCGCUUUGCGGCCUUCUUCGCCAUCUUGUACUUCUCUAUGUUGUCUGCACUCCUAUUCAGGUAUAGGCGUCUGAAGCAAUCUUUCAUCUCUUUAAUCGCCUUCUGGACAUCAUCGUUCCACCACCAGGUAUCCUUAUCUUCGCUUCUCCUUCCCCUGGACACUCCAAACUCCUCCGAGGCCACCUUACGAAUGCAAGUCGCCAUCUUCGUCCACACAUUGUCCGCAUCCCCUCCCUCCUCCCAAGGGCCCUCCUUAAUGACCCUCUCCUUGAACACCUGAGCUACCUCCCCCUUGAGCUUCCACCACUUCGUUCUAGCGACCUUGGCACGCUUAUCCCGCUGGACACGAAUCCGAAAGCGGAAAUCAGCAACCACCAGCUUAUGCUGGGGUACAGCACUCUCUCCAGGUAUCACCUUGCAGUCUAGGCACGCACGCCUAUCUUCUCUUCUCGAGAGGAUGAAAUCAAUCUGGCUAGAGUGUUGGCCACUACUAAAAGUCACCAGAUGUGAUUCUCUCUUUCUAAAGAGGGUGUUAGCUACAAUCAUGUUGUAGGCUAGAGCAAAGCUUAAGACAUCUUCUCCUUCUUGAUUCCUGAUGCCAUAGCCAAAGCCCCCAUGCGCCCCUUCAAAACCUGUGUUAGAUGUACCCACGUGGCCAUUGAGGUCUCCUCCUAUGAAGAGCUUCUCACCAAUCGGUACACUCCUAACCAUGUCUUCCAGGCCUUCCCAGAACUCCCUCUUGGUGUUCUCAUUGUGGCCUACUUGCGGGGCAUACGCGCUGAUAACAUUGAGAACCAAGUCCUCAACUACCAGCUUGACCAGGAUAAUCCCACGUCUCUUGACGUCUACCACUCCAUACUUGAGGCUCUUGUUGAUCAAGAUGCCUACGCCAUUUCUGUUUGCAGCCGUCCCCAUGUACCACAGCUUGAAGCCGGUAUCCUCCACCUCCUUCGCCUUCUGUCCUCUCCAUUUGGUUUCUUGGACGCAAAGGAUAUCAACACCUCUCCUCACCGCUGCAUCAACUAGCUCCCGAAGCUUCCCUGUCAGAGACCCUACAUUCCAGCUACCUAAGCGAAUCCUCCUAGGCUCGGCUAGCUUCCUUACCCUUCGCACUCGUCGAGUCAAAUGCGAAGACCCAUGCUCAUUUUCCACUACAUCCGGGCGCCGAUGUAGCGCGCCACUAAGGAUGUGACGACCCGAUCCUCGCUCACUUGCCACCGUAUCCGGAUCAAGAUAUGGCGCGCCACUUGGGGGGUGACGACCCAGCCCUUGCCCAUUUUCCAACACACCCGGGUUCCGAUGUGGCGCGUCGCUGAGAGGGUUACGCCCCAAUGAAAAUUGAAAAAUAUAAUAAUAGAUGACUAAUGUUUCAAAUACAUACAUAAGUAUCCUAAUACAAUAAAAUUAUAUAAUGUUAAGAAGAAUAGAACCAAACGUAUACUUCCACUGAUUGCAUAUAAGGUGUAGAAGUAUACACAAAUUUAAAGAAACAUAUACAUGUUGCUUGACAGUGUGAACAAAUAUACUUACGUCAACGGCAUCUGUUUGUGUGAAAGUUAGUAUGGGCUUGUUUUGAUUCAUCUCAACCUCUUUCUGAACAACAUUUCUCAGCAUUUGAGUCUCCUCAUCACUGUCUUCUUCGUCGAAGGGGAACUCAACAACAAUAUGCUCAAGCAAAGAGAUAUUCUCUAAACCAAAUACAAGAUCACCAAACUGAGAGAAUGUGUCAUGCACAUUAUCUAAAACUAACAGGAGGGUCUGUAGACUUUGCAUGGCUCCCCGUGCAAACUUCAACUCCAUGGUGUCACCCUUGACACUAAACCUCUUUAGACACCGAAAUGGAUAAGCAUUGUCAAUGACCAACCGUUUGUCUCUACCUUGUGUAGGUUUCUGCACUUGUAUGUACAGUUCACUGAGAGACGGUAUGUUCCCAAGUACUUGAAGGUCUUCUUCUCCCAUUGUUUCAAGUUUGAUACUAAGAGAGAAGAGGAAAGACAUGGAACACAUCCACCUAGGUACUGCACAAGUGAUGCUGUCAGCCAUGUGGAAUAACAAUAGUUGUGUUAGUUGAAUAAAGGUUGACGGCAGCUCUUCUUCUAUUUCAGUGCACGAGCUGAUGUCCAGCACUUGCAGAAAUUGCAGAUUUGCAAUCUCUUUCGGGAUCCUGGUGAUAGACGUUCCCUUUAAACUCAGAUAUCUCAAGUGAAACAAACUGCAAAUAUCCUUCCAAUUAUUAUUAUCCACUUGCAUGCAGAAUGUUAAAUCCAAUACACGUAGGACUGGAAAACCCGAAAGUGUUGGCAACAAACUGAAAGCUGGACUAGACACAGUAAGUGACCUCACAUUGGUCAGUCCCAUGGUUGACAAUUGAUUAACAACUUCUGGAAUGCAGGUCUGGAUGGACAGUCGGCGGAUCUUACUUGGUAGAUACUCUGGUUGCGGAUCACCUAUUCUUGUUAGGAAAUUCUCAUCACUUGACAAGGAAAUGAUGAGGUCACGCACCAUAUCGUGUACAUGACAAGAGCACACUUGAUUUGCAUUGUCAAAUUUUGCAGGUUGAACCAAACUUUUAUUAAUGAGCUCAUCCAAAUAAUCCCCUCCUACUUCAUACAAGCUCUUCCCCUGUUCUUUUUUCACGAAACCUUCACCCACCCAUUUCCAUAUCAGUUGUUCUGUUGCAAUCUUAUAAUCCUCUGGGUAUAGACUAAGAUGCAGUAAACAAGUCUUUAGGUGUGGUGGUAGGUUAGAAUAACUGACUGAUAAUAUCCUUCUCAUGUUCUUCACAUCAUCAUGAUUAUUGUCUAGCCCUGAACUAAUAGAUUUCUGCACCUUGGACCAAUACUCAAGUGUAUGUGCUCUUCCCUUUUUGUUGGACAGCAAGCUACCUAUUGUAAGGAUAGCUAGCGGCACACCCCCACAUCUUUCUAAAAUGUUCUCAGAUACUUCAACCAAUUGACUAGGUGGUGACUUGUUCUCCAUAUCAUAUAUUCUUUGAUAGAACAACUUUCUUGAGUCCACAACAGAAAGAGGAUUCAGCCGGUAGACACCACCAGCUUGCUGGGCAACAUCAAGGAUGCGAGUUGUUGUGAUUACUCUACUUUCAUAUUCAUUCUCAAUCAACGCAUAUUUGAUGUUUUCCCAGACGGACUUAUCCCAUACGUCGUCAAUAACAAUCAAGUACCUUCAAUUAAUACGAAAACACAUAUAUUAUAAGGCUAAGUUCUCACACAUUGAGCAGAAUUGAGAUACACAACACAGUUUAACUUAAAUGGCAAAGCAAAUAGAAAACUUGAGAGUUCUGAACUAUUGUAGUUUUUAUGGCGGCGACACAUAUGCACAUACGUACCUCUUGUUUUCAAGAAAUGUUCUUAUUUCACGGAUGAGUUGUUCUUCGCCCCACAAUGCCUCAUUGGUGUUUUGAAUCCUAUGCUUGUCAAGUUGAUGGAGCAAGCUCCUGAAAAUCUGCUCCAUGUUAGGAUUAAGAGACACGGAAAUAAAAGCCGAGCAAUCGAAUUGCAGUUCUUGAUUAUCUUCUUGCACUUUCAGCUUCUCAUAGACGGCAUUAGCAAGGGUUGUCUUUCCUAAUCCACCAAAUCCAACAAUAGAGACCACCUUCAGCUGUUUCUGGGAAACCAUGUCUCCCUCAGUCAGCAUCUUGAUUACCUCAACGCUCUUCUCGUCGGUGCCAACAAGCUCCGUAGCCUUUCUAUACAAGGCUGACAUGCGAAGGGUAUCAAUAGUUGGACCAAGUGGCUUGGUAGCGGCCACACUGUCAACCUUGUACCUAUCACGGCGCUCGCUGACCUCCUUGAUGCGGCUCUUGAUGUCUUUGAUAUCGAUGCCGAUCUUGUGGCGAAUCUUGCCCUUGGUCAGCAGGCUGAGGCUCUUAUCAAUGAAAUUCCUGAAGCUAUGGGACUUAUCUGGUCGGCCAUGGGUUUCGAUGCGCACCAUGAACUUGUCGAUGCUAUCUUCCAGGUCAUAUGACAAGUCCCUCACCGCCUUGGCCCAAAGCUUAACUUGGAUGUCCGGUGGCUGGUCCAUUGGCGCCUCAGAUAUCCUGAGGAGAGCUGUCUCCAUGCUCUCCAUCUCGGCUUUGAGGAACAUGAUCUCGCCCCUGACACCCCUCUGAAGGCUGUACUCCUUGGUGAUUAGGUCGGCUAGCUUGGGCAGGAGGGUGCCCAUCGCUCCAAUCACGGCCUGGGCCAUGCUUGGCUUGCGCUAUAGCUCAGCCUCUUUGACGGUGUUUGCGGAAGCAGCAGAGGGAAAAGGGUGGCGGUGAUCUGCUGCGUUGAUGAAGUGCAACCUUAACUUCGUCCUAAAGAGCCGCAAUAUGAUUAGUCAGGAGCUCGAAGUCAAAACGUUGGAACAGAAUGAAGUAAAAUAGACAGAUCAUGAUGAAAGGAGAAAGCCGCGAAGAUGGAGACCUGUCCGCUGGAUCUUGCAGUGAGAGAGUAUGGAGACUUGGAGAGUGAGCAGUGAGCGCACUGGGGAAAUUAUGGGGAACCUGAAGCUCAGUCUUUAGUAUCAGAGCAUAUAUACAGCAACCGGAAACAAAAGAAAGCAUUUAGUUUCAACAUGUUUUCUGAGUAGAAUGAUGGAACUUAACAAAAGGCUAAACACAAUUAAGAAGCAGCAGCAGAUUCUUAUGUUAACAAGCUACCGAUCAAGCAACCAGCUUAGAGUUUCUUAGGGGAAGAAGAGGAUGGUGAUUAGCUAGUAUCCUGAGAGCCCUGCUGCGUGUGAGCUCGGACUCAAGAGGAUGGUGGGCACCGUGAAAGCUAGAUGAAGCUCAGAUCUGAAUCAGCGUCCUAAUCUAUAUUAGCUUUACACCUAACGAGGAGUUAAAUUAUGCGGGAAUCCUGCUGGUUUGUCUGCUUUUAACGUAUCUGCUGUCAAAGUCCAGUCUACAGAUUGGUAAAAAUUAAAAAAAAUAAAACAAUACCCCUUCCCCUCAAUUGAAACGCUCACGCGCUUUAAAACUGUAAUCCUUUUAUCACCAAAAAAUGGCUGUGGAGACUCCUGCUUCAUCACAUUAAUUCAUUAAUUUAAAUAUAUACAGAGCCUCUAUAUUUUAUUAAAUUAACAUACAAAAUGAGCAUCUUUCUGAUCUUAGAUGCGCCAUGAUCUCGCAUUCUAAUGUUUAUACUGUUAAACAGAUCGACAUCUGUGUGAUUAUGCGACAUUGCCUCCACUUCUGUAUGAACUAUGCAGUUUUGGAUCUAAAUAGCAGAUCAAAAAAUGCAGCAGACAGUCCUUGUAUCAGGAAUAUAGCAGUCAUUAUUUUGAAAAAAAGUGCUUUCAUACUUUAAACUAGCAAAGCGAGAGAGAUAUUGGGGCCUGGGCUGUACCCAAGGUCCAAUCUCCGGCUCAUACGAGUACUAGUAUAUUACAACAACCGUGUCUCUUUCCACACAAUUCGAGGUUGAAGGCAGAGCACUGUGUAGACUACUCCUAGUAUAAUCAUUACACAGGUAUAGAAAUUUCAAGGUAAUUUGGUGUUGGAAAACCGAACGGCAGAGUAUAGUUGUGCGCAUAUGGACAACCCAUAAAAAUGGAAAAGGUAGUUUCGUGUUGACACGGAAUGGUAGAGUAUAAAAAUGUGCUACACUAUAUGAGUAUAUGGAGAGAAAAAACAUAAAACUAGAAAAAGCCAAAGGAAAAGUAUGAUAUUUUAUCUUAUUACUUGAAUAAGUUUUAUCAAUAUGUAUGUGGCUUUUGGCAACACACCAUAGUAGCAAUCAUGUGGCCUGUUUUCUAAGCGAAUAUUUUAAUGUGGUCCUUAAUUAGUCGAUGGGCAAUAGAUAUUGAAAUAUCAAACCAGGGGAUCUAUCUAGGAUGAAGUUUGUUUUCUCAUAUACUUUACCUUGGGAGCAUGUUACCCUGCUACCUAUUUUGUCAGAAACUUCACCUCCUGAAGUAACAAAGCCAAAUCAAAUAUCCCUUAUGACUUUUUUUUCUGGGGACCCUUAUAAGGUUUUGAAAGGUGGUUGUGCGGAUGUGACACACAUCAAGGGUGAUCUUAUCAACAUGAAAAAAUAAAUGAAAUGAUGACAAGUCAGAAGACAAGGUGUCGUCUUUAUCAUCUCUCUCCAUGUUUCUCAGCUAUUUCUUAUGGCCUUAUCGCCGUUUCGUUGCCAUCAUGCUUCUCUCUCUAUUGCUAUGCAAUCACACUAGCAUCUUCUCCAGCUAUAAUGAAUCUUUGUCAGGGUUGCCGUCGCCUUCGGUGAAAGGAUAUCGACAUAUUAAGCAGGGCUGUCUUGUUAGGCCUCUGUUAGGUGUGACCCUUCUGACAAAACAUCAUGAUCAUAAUCAUAAAUGGAUUUGUAACAAUUGUAGGCUUAAUUUACAGGAUUGAUUCAACUCUAGCAGAGACACCGCCUUGUAUAUAGCUUGAUCCUACCUAGUACCUAACAGUCAUUUUUAGAUCCAUAGAGAAACUUUGAACAAAUGCUCAACUAUAGUAGAUGCGAUUUUUUUUUCAGCUACUAUGCACAACACUGUGUUGGAUGGAUUUAUUUCCCUUGGAAGCAAAGGAUAUAAAUGGCACUCUAACACAGCCUACAUACAUACUGAUUAACAACACAAAAUAUUCAUAAUGUCUCUGUACCAUACCUGCUAAAGUUGUACUACUACUACUACUACACCGGAAGAAUCGAAUGUCUUAGGGACCAAAUGCUCAGUCUCCGUGUAAGAGUGAAGCAGUGAGUACACCUGAUGGGGAAAAUCUGGGGAACAUGCAGCUCAGUCUUAGUUUCAGAGCAGAUAUACAGAAAUCUGGUUUGUUUAUCAUUUUGGUUGGUAAAUGAAUCGCUUGAGAAAGCAAUGAUGUAAGAUAUUUUGCAUAACAUGACUGAUUAACAUGCUUCACAUAUUUCUGAGUACCAUGAUGGAACCCUUAACAGCAUCCUCAGCACGAUUAAGCAGCAGCAGCAGCGGUUUCUUAAGCAAACAAGCUAGUGAUCAUGCGAGAAGAUCGAGCACAUGCAAAAGCACCCAACUUAGUUUCUCCGGUGAAUAAGUUCUCAAGGAGAAGAAGAUGGUGAUUACCUAGAGCAGCCGAGUUGCCUGCGAAUUUCAGAUAUGUUGAGGAUUCAUGAGGACAGACAACUGAAGAAUCGCAGCAUGAUUAGUCAGGAGCUAACAAGACAAAGCCUAGGUAAAAUUUAAACUUGAGAAGGAAAGUCUUAGGGACAGGCCGAUCUUGCCACCAGAGGACUGAGAGGAGGAAGGGGGAUGCUUACCGGCGAUGGGAACGGCCGUGACCUGGCAAAUAAGGAGAAGGAGGUGGAUGGCCGGGAGCUCGUGUAUAAGGGGAAGGCGAUACGGAUGGUGUCACGGCAGAGCGAGGCCGCGGGUAUGCAGCAGCAGCAGAUAGGGAAUAGUUUGGAGGAAGAGGCAGAGAUGGGGAGUGCAGCGCCACCAACCCAUACCACCCACUGCGGGUCAGUGUACAAAACAUACAGUAUACGACAGGAUUAGAGUAGGUAAAGAUCAUUUGUAAUAGGCAAGUUGCAUUACAAAACUAAUCGCCCGUUUCACGCGUGAGGACGUGGAACGAUGUGCAAUAUAUUCUAGAUAAGAUAAAAACAGCAGAACACUUACUAAUGCAAGUGAUCUGGCCAUUUGAUUAAAAGAAAAAAAUGACAAUAAUGUAAUUUGGCACCAUCUGCAGGUCUGGUCAGUCAAGAAAACAUAUACUAGUAAACAACAGGAUAAGACUACACCAUGUCCUGAAGAUAGGGAGGAAGUUUCCUUGGAUGCAUUGCCUUUUGAUGAAGGUAUUUUGGGCAUCUGAAAUCAGUGCCGCGAGUUUGCAACACUAGGGAUAAGAGUAACUGACCAGAAAUCUGUGAUCGCAGAUGAACUACUCUCUCUGUAAAGAAAUAUAAGAGUACAUAGUAAUCUAACUGAAGAGUACCACACUACCAGAAAAACUUCGUUUGCCGACGGCCAAAUCUAUGCCGACGGCACCCGUCGGCAUAAAUGCAGCUAUGCCGACGGCCAAGGGCAGGCCGUAGGCGUAGAAAAGCCGUCGGCAUAAAUCCAUAUAUGCCGACGGGGCCGUCGGCAUAUAUGAGGCCGUCGGGACCGCUCGAGGUAUGCCUACGGGGCCCGUCGGCAUAGGAGCGGCCGUCGGCAUAGCCCUUGCCGUCAGCGCUGACCGUUUGACGACGUUGAGCCUACGCCGACGGGUGGUAACGGCGGCCGUCGGCAUACCCGUGCCAGCCCUAUGCCGACGGCUGUGCCGUCGGCAUAGACCUGGCCCAUACCCCUCUGCCACGUCAUCGAUCCGUGGGACUGCACCUCCGUGUGUGCACAGAUAUGCCGACGGCCUAGCCGUCGGCAUACAUUUAUUUAGUUUUAUUUUAAAUUUCGCUUUAUACUACCUAUGGCAAAUAUAUGCCUACGGUAUAGCCGUCGGCAUAGGCCCAUCUGCCACGUCAUCGAUCCGUGUGCCUUGCCACGUCAUCGAUCCUAUGCCGACGGGGGCCGUCGGCAUAGGCCUGACCCGACGGCUAGUCAUGGCUAUGCCGACGGCCCUGGCCGUCGGCAUAGGGUGCGAUUCCGGUAGUGCCACAUUAAUUCCAAUUACAAUCUAGUAAAAAAUAAGACAUCAUCGAACUGGUCACGUACGACUUACUCAAGCUUACCAUUAGUAUCUUUCUACUAUAGUACUAUAUAUACAAAAAAUACACGAAGGAAAUAAUAUUUUCUAGAUAUUUUCCGUGAAAAUGUGUAGAUAUGAUCCUCAUGUUGAGUCUAAAUGUUAAAACAAUAUUGGCAAUCAAAGAUUAAUAUCUUUUUGAGUAUGUCGAAAACGCAUUAUUCCCUUGCUGCCUUGCUCUGAGUAUUCCCUAGCUAUGUUCUCAGCACAUGAUUGCUCAGUCCCUCAAUCUCAACAUGAACAUUAUUUAACGAGUUGCGUGAUCAUUCUUUUGUUAAAACAAAUGAACAUGUUUGCAUUAAUUAAAACAAUACACCAACAUACUAAGUGGUUAUGGGCGGUGGCGGUGAGAAAAUGACGGUGGUGGGAGCUGAAGCUGGAAGCACAUUGAUGAGCAUAUUUUCCCCUCAUUUUUAUCCAUGUUUAAACUGGAUAUUUCAAUUUUCUCCUUUCCGAACGCGGUCAGCACACUAGAUAUUGACCAUAGCAAGAGUGACUACAUAAGAAUAGAUUUCCUAUUUUCCCAAAAAAUAUCGAGCAAGCUCUUGCUCCAUUCAUAUGUAACAGCGUAUGCUAACUAAUGCAGUAAAGAGACUGCAGGAUCAUACAUUCGUUCUUUUUUCGAUGAAUACGCUUAGCAGCGUAUCAUUUCAUUGAUAGGUAGAAAUAGAGAAUUUUUGUACAGGUGGCAUCCUCACAGACGUACACCAACAUGCGUUUGGGAGGGUGCAUCAACCAGCAGGGGGGGAUGCUCAGCCUCCAUACAGAAGAUCAGGUUACAGGUAUGAUAGUAGCUAAACCCUUGGCGCCCGCCUUGACCCAGAGGCGAGCAUCUUUCUUGAUGGUUAGCACUCAGCUUGGACGUGGCGAGCAGGCUUUCAGCCAGGCUCGUGGCCCGAUAUGGACCGGACCGUACGGUCCUGGCCCGUUCAAGAAAAUGGUCGGUCCGGUUAUGAAAUAUCGGCCCGUAAAAGUCUCGGUCCGGUUCGGUUUUAGCUCGGUCCGGUUCGGUUAACCGAAAGAACGCAGCUCAAAAACAACUCAGCACACGAUUCCGCGAUGCGCGUAAUCGGCGUCUUUUUGUUUUCUUUCCUUUUUAUUCUGUCCGAUCCACACAUCUCGGAGAUCAUGAGCGGUUGUUACGCUACGCCACCCCACGAUCUGCCAUCUAACUGAAGAUCGAUCAGAGGCAGACCAAACUUGUACGUGGGCAUACCCAUGGGACGAGACUUGCCUGCGCCCCGGGCGCGCGCCCAUCUCUGCUCCCGCUUACGUGGCUUGAUUUGAUUGGGACAAAAUAAGGUCCGGGCCCACCCAUUAAAAUCAGGGGGGGAGGGUGAUUAGAUUAGGAAGCAAAAAGGGGAAAAACAGCCAUAGGAUGAAGUGGGAGCACGGAUGGGAGCAUGGGAGGGAGCAGGCAAGCCGGAUCCAUACCCAUGAUAAGCCCUAUUUAUUUGCAACAUGCAAAUUGUAAAGAUGAUUAAUAUGGCACAUGCAACAACCCUGUAAUGCAGAUUCCUUUCGGCUCAAUAGAGUUAACGUGACAGGAAUCAGAAUUAAUGUGUCAAAAAAUAGGAAGCAACGAGGCAACACCAUUAAUUGCAUAACACUAUGUCGCGAGUAACAGAGCUGUGGCGCAUGUAUAUGAGCGCUUGUGUCUGUACUGAUGUUCAAAAAAAAAAUAACAGAGCUGUGUGGCCGUGUCCAUUGGCUUCAUCCGCUCGGGGGCCUCCCAGAUGAAAGAACCCCAGCUACCCAUGGUAGGAAGAAAGAACUAGGGCACCAGCCAGAACGCACUGACUGUGAUGCAGCCGCUGCUACUCGAGGCGUCCCUGCGCUUCUUCUCAACGAGCUCGGAGAAGGCCAUGCCGAGCGUGGCGACGACAAGGCCUGCAGCUGUUUCCCCUCUCCUUCCUCUCCUUCCCAUACCCUGUAGACUCCCGUCGCCGUGUGCCGCCGCUCGCCGUCGCCGUGCGCCGUUCCGUAAUACAAGAUCCCGUGCCUAACUCAUUAGUCACAUUGCUUGCAAGCUUCUUGUGAUGUUGUAUUACCAAGUGGGCCCUGAGAUAUCUCUCCGUCAUACAGAGUGACAAAUCCCAGUCUUGAUCCAUGCCAAUUCAACCGACACCCUCGGAGGUACCUGUACAGCACCUUUAUAGUCACCCAGUUAUGUUGCGAUGUUUGGUACACACAAGAUACUCAUCCGGUGUCAGUGAGUUGCAUGAUCUCAUGGGCAUAGGAACGUAUACUUGACAUGCAGAAAACGAUAGCAAUAAACUUGACACGAUCAUAUGCUACAUUUAUAGUUUGGGUCUUGUCCAUCACAUCAUUCUCCUAAUGAUGUGAUCCUGUUAUCAAAUUACAACUCAUGUCUAUGGCUAGGAAACCAUAGCCAUCUUUGAUCAACAGGCUAGUCUAGUAGAGGCUCACUAGGGACAUGUUGUUGUCUAUGUAUCCACACAUGUAUCUGAGUUUCCGAUCAAUACAAUUCUAGUAUGGAUAAUAAACGAUCAUCAUAAACAGGGAAAUAUGAUAAUAACCAAUUUAUUAUUGCCUCUAGGGCAUAUUUCCAAUAGUCUCCCACUUGCACUAGAGUCAAUAAUCUAGUUCACAUCGCCAUGUGAUUAACACUCAUAGUUCACAUCGCCAUGUGACUAACACCCAAAGAGUUUACUAGAGUCGAUAAUCUAGUUCACAUCACCAUGUGAUUAACAAUCAAUGAGUUCCGGGGUUUGAUCAUGUUAUGCUUGUGAGAGAGGUUUUAGUCUACGGGUCUGGAACAUUCAGAUCAGCAUGUACUUCGCAAAUCUCUAUGUCAUAUUGUAGAUGCUGCUACCACGCUCCACUUGGAGCUAUUCCAAAUGGUUGCUCCACUAUACGUAUCUGGUUUGCUACUCAGAGUCAUCCGGAUAGGUGUUAAAGCUUGCAUCAACAUAACCCUUUACACCGAACUCUUUAUCACCUCCAUAACCGAAAAACAUUUCCUUAUUCCUCCAUGGAUAAUUUACUCAACUACACACCUUAAAACUCAGGCAAGAACUCCUUCUUUGACCGAUCCAUUUUGAACUCCUUCAAAAUCAUGUUGAGGUAUGUGCUCUGUGAAAGUCUUAUCAGGCGUCUUGAUCUAUCUCUAUAGAUCUUGUUGCCCAAUAUGUAAGCAGCUUUACCCAGGUCUUCCUUUGAAAAACCCUUUAUGCUUUUCAGAAAUUCAACAUUCUUUCCGAUCAACAAUAUGUCAUCCACAUAUACUUAUCAGAAAUGUUGUAGUGCUCCCACUCACUUUCUGGUAAAUACAAGUUUCUUGCAAACUUUGCACAAACCCAAAAGCUUUGAUCACCUCAUCAAAGCGUAUGAUCCAACUCCGAGAUGCUUGCUCCAGUCCAUAGAAGGAUCGCUAGAGCUUGCAUACCUUUUAGCAUCCUUAGGAUCGACAAAACCAUCUGUUGUAUCACAUACAACCUUUCCUCACGGAAACCGUCAAGGAAACUUUGUUUUGACAUCCAUCUGCCAGUUUUCGUAAUUGAAAAUGCAGCAACUACUAACAUAAUUCCAACAGACUUUUGUGUUGCUAUGAGUGAGAAAAUGUCAUCAUGGUCAACUCCUUGAACUUGUCGAAAACUUCUUUGCGACAAGUCGAGCUUCAUACAUGGUGACAUUACCAUCAGCGUCCAACUUCUUCUUAAAGAUCCAUUUAUUCUCAAUGGCUUGCUGGUCAUCGGGCAAGUCCACCAAAGUCCAUACUUUGUUCUCAUGCAUGGAUCCUAUCUCGGAUUUCAUGUCUCCUAGCAAUUUGUUGGAAUCUAGGCGCACCAUCGCUUCUCCAUAGCUCGUAGGUUCACCGUUGUCCAACAACAUGACCUCUAAUACAGGGUUACCAUACCACUCAAAAGUUGUACAUACCCUUGUCGACCUACGAGGUUCGACAGUAACUUGAUCCAAAGCGUCAUGAUCAUCAUCAUUAGUUUCUUCUUCAACUAACGUAGGUGCCACAGAAACAUCUUUUUGUGCUGCGCCACCCUCUGGUUGAAGUAAAGGUUCAACAAGCUCAUCAAGUUCUAUCUUCCCCCAACUCAAUUCUUUCGAGAGAAACUCUUUCUCGAGAAAGGACCCAUUCUUAGCGACAAACACGUUGCCCUCGGAUCUGAGAUAGAAGGUAUACCCAAUUGUCUCCUUUGGGUAUCCUAUGAAGACGCAUUUGUCCGCUUUGGGUUCAAGCUUUGCCGGCUGAAGCCUUUUGACAUAAGCAUCGCAACCCCAAACCUUAAGGAACGACAGCUUAGGUUUCUUGCCAAACCACAGUUCAUACGGUGUCGUAUCUACGAACUUAGAUGGUGCCCUAUUUAAAGUGAAUGCAACUAUCUCUAAUGCAUCACCCCAGAACGAGAGUGGCAGAUCGGAAAAGGACAUUAUAGAAUGCACGAUAUCCAAUAAGGUAUGAGUACGGCGUUCGGACACAUCAUUACGCUGUGGUGUUCCAGGUGGCGUCAACUGUGAAACGAUUCCAUAUUGUCUUAAGUGAUUGCCAAACUCAUAACUCAGGUAUUCUCCCCUUCGAUCAGAUCGUAGGACUUUAAUCUUCUUGUUAUGAUGAUUCUCAACUUCACUUUGAAAUUGCUUGAACUUUUCAAACAUUUCAGGCUUACGCUUCAAUAAGUAGACAUACCUAUAUCUAUUCAAAUCAUCGGUGAAGGUGACAAAGUAAUGAUAUCCACCGCGCGCGUCAACGCUCAUCGGACCGCACACAUCAGUAUGUAUGAUUUUCAACAAGUCACUUGCCCAUUCCAUUGUACCGGAAAAUGGGGUUUUGGUCAUCUUGCCCAUGAGGCAUGGUUCACAUGUGUCAAGUGAUUCAAAAUCAAGUGACUCCAAAAGUUCAUCAGCAUGGAGUUUCUUCAUGUGCUUUACACCAAUAUGACCUAAGCGGUAGUGCCACAAGAAAGUGGUACUAUCAUUACCAACUCUACAUCUUUUGGCAUCAAUAUUAUGAACAUGUGUAUCACUACGAUCGAGAUUCAAUAAACCAUUCACAUUGGGUGCAUGACCGUGGAAGGUAUUAUUCAUGUAAACAGAAUAACCAUUAUUCUCUGAGUUAAAUGAAUGACCGUAUUGCAAUAAACACGAUCUAAUGAUGUUCAUGCUCAACACAGACACCAAAUAACAUUUAUCUAGGUUCAACACUAAUCUCGAAGGUAGAGGGAGCGUGCGAUGGUGAUCACAUCAACCUUGGAAACACUUCCAACACAUCGUCACCUCGCCCUUAGCUAGUCUCCGUUUGUUCCGCAGCUUUUGUUUCGUGUUACCAAUAUUAGCAACUGAACCGGUAUCUCAUACUCAGGUCCUACUAGGAGUACUAGUAAGGUACACAUAAAAAACACGUAUAUCAAAUAUACUUUUGUUGAAGUUGCCAACCUUCUUAUCUACCAAGUAUUUGGGGUAGUUCCGCUACCAGUGAUCGUUCCCCUUACAACAUAAGCACUUAGUCUCGGGUUUGGGUUCAACCUUGGGUUCGUUCACUGGAGCGGCAACUGGCUUGUCAUUCAUGAAGUUUCCCUUCUUGCCCUUGCGCUUCUUUAAGUUAGUGGUAUUGUUAAUCAUCAACACUUGAUGCUCCUUCUUGAUUUCUACCUUCGCGGCCUUAAGCACCACAAACAUCUCCGGGAUCAUCUCCAUCCCUUACAUGUCAUAGUUCAUCACGAGGUUCUAGUAGAUUGGUGAUAGUGACUGGAGAACCCUAUCAAUCACUAUCUUAUCUGGCAGGUUAACUCCCACUUGAUUCAAGCGGUUGUAGCACCCAGACAUUCUGAGCACAUGCUCACUGGCUGAGCUAUUCUCCUCCAUCUUGUAGGCAAAGAACUUGUCAGAGGUCUCAUCACAGGCAUGAGCUUGAAACAUCAAUUUUAGCUCUUGGAACAUCUCAUAUGUUCCAUGGCGUUCAAAACGUCUUGAAGCCCCAAUUGUGAGCCGUAAAGCAUGGCACAGUAAACUAUGAAGUAGUCAUCCGAACGUGUCUGUUAGAUGUUCACAACAUCCAUAGACGACGCUAGAGGGGUUGGUACCCCGAGUGGUGCAUCAAGGACAUAAUCCUUCUGUGUAGCAGUGAGGACAAUCCUCAGACUACGGUCCUAGUCCGCAUAAUUUCUUACAAUAUCUUUCAACUUAGUCUUUCUCUAGGAACAUAUUAAAAUAGGGAGCUAUGGCGCGAGCUAUUGAUCUACAACAUAAUUUGCAAAGACAAUUUCAACUAUGUUCAUUACUUAAGAACUCCCACUCAAAUUGACAUCCCUCCGGUCGGCCGAGUGUAACAUGAUCCAAAUUCACCAACCCAAGUCCGAUCAUCACGUGAGAUGAGGUGGUUUCAAUGGUGAACAUCUCCAUGUUGAUCAUAUCUACUAUAUGACUCAUGUUCGACCUUUCGGUCUCUUGUGUUCCGAGGCCAUGUCUGUACAUGCUAGGCUCGUCAAGUUUAACCCAAGUGUUCCACAUGUGCAAAACUGGCUUGCACCCGUUGUAUGUGAGCGUAGAGACUAUCACACCCGAUCAUCACGUGGUGCUUCGAAAUGACGAACUUUCGCAAUGGUGCACACUUGGGGAGAACACAAUUUUAUCUUCAAAUUUUACUGAGGGAUCACCUUAUAAUACUACCGUCGUCCUAAGCAAAAUAAGAUGCAUAAAAGGAUUAACAUCACAUGCAAAUCAUAAGUGACAUGAUAUGGCCAUCAACUUGUGCUUUUGAUCUCCAUCUCCAAAGCACCGGCAUGAUCUCCAUCGUCACCGGCAUGGUACCAUGAUCUCCAUCAUCGUGUCGCCAUUGGGGUUGUCACGCAAACCAUGCUUCCACUACUAAUGCUACCGCUUCGCGAUAAAGUAAAGCAUUACAUAGCGCUUAAUGAUUGACACGCAGGUCAUACAAUAAUUAAAGACAACCCUAUGGCUCCUGCCGGUUGCCGUAUGCAUCGACAUGCAAGUCGAUAUAAACUAUUACAAACAUGAUCAUCUCAUACAUCAAAUAUAUUUCAUCAUAUCUUUGGCCAUAUCAUAUCACAACAUACCCUGCAAAAACAAGUUAGACGUCCUCUAAUUGUUGUUGCAUGUUUUACGUGGCUGCUAUGUGCAUCUAGCAAGAACGAUUCUUACCUACGCAAAGCCAUAACGGUGAUAUGCAAGUUGCUAUUUAACCUUCUACAAGGACCGCCUUUGUCGAAUCCGAUUCAACUAAGGUGGGAGAGACAGACACCCGCCAACCAUCUUUAUGCAACAAACUCACAUAUCUGUCGAUAGAACCGGUCUCAUGUACGUGGACAUGUAAAGUUGGUCCGGGCCGCUUCAUCCUACAAUAUCGCCGAAUCAAGAAAAGACCAAGGAAGGAAGCAAUCUGAAUAUCAAUGCCCACAAACUUCUUUGUGUUCUACUCGUGAUGUCAUCUACGCAUAGACCUAACUCUGAUACCACUGUUGGGGAACGUUGCAUGGGAAACAAAAAUUUUCCUACGCUCACCAAGAUCCAAUCUAGGAGAUGACCAUCUACGAGAGGAGAGAUUGGAUCUACAUACGCUUGUAGAUUGCUAAGCGGAAGCGUUAAGAAACGUGGUUGGUGUAGUUGAACGUCUUCUCGAUCCAAUCACGAUCCAUCCCGUGAACUCCCGAUCUAGCGCCGAUCGGACGGCACCUCUGUGUUCAACACACAUACGGCUUGAUGACGCCUCCACCUCCUUGAUCCAGCGAAUGAUUGUGAAGUAGUAGCUCGAGUCCUCUGGCAUCACGAUGGCGUGGUGGCUGUGGUGGUGGAGAAAUCUUAGCAGAGCUUCGCCAAGCACUACAGAGAAGAAGAUGGCUAUGAGGGAGAGGAAGGGCAGCGUCGUGGAACGAAUAGAUCUGUAUGGGUGCGGUUGCCCUCUCUCCCCUCCUCUAUAUAUAGGGGGAAGGGUGGAGGGAGGGGCGCCCCUAGAUCCAAUCUUGGGGGCGGCUACCUACAAGGGGAAACCCUAGAUGGGUUUUGCCCCCCCACCCCUUAGGAGACUUGGUCCCCAAGGCAAAGGGUGGGAAACCCUAGGGAGGCGCCCCACCUCCUCUGUCAAUGGGGGAAGGGGGCUUGGGGGCGCAUAGCCCCUUAAUGGGCUGUUGUGCCCCUCCCCUUGGCCCAGGAGGCCCCCCAACACUUGCCCCCCCCGAAACCCCUUUCGGUCAUGCUGGUCAUCACCCGGUACCCCUAGAACAAUUCCGGACUCCAAUACCCUUCGUCCAAUAUAUCAAUCUUCACCUCCGGACCAUUCCAGAGUUCCUCGUCAUGUCCGAGAUCUCAUCCGGGACUCCGAACAACCUUCAGUAACCACCAUAAUGACUCAACUAUACUUAUACCGUCACCAAACGUUAAGUGUGUGGACACUGCGGGUUCGAGAACUAUGCAGACAUGACCGAGACACCUCAACGGUAAAUAACUAAUAGAGGGACCUGGAUGCCCAUAUUGGUUCCUGCAUAUUCUCCCAAGAUCUUAUCGGUCGAACCUCGAUGCCAAGGAUUCAGCUAAUAAUCCCGUAUGCAGUUCCCUUUGUCUAUCUGUAUGUUACUUGCCCGAGAUUCGAUCGUCGGUAUCUCCAUACCUAGUUCAGUCUCGUUACCGGCAAGUCUUCUUUACUCCUUCCGUAAUACAAGAUCCCGUGGCUAACUCAUUACUCACAAUGCUUGCAAGCUUCUUGUGAUGUUGUAUUACCGAGUGGGCCCUGAGAUACCUCUCCGUCAUACGGAGUGACAAAUCCUAUUCUUGAUCCAUGCCAACUCAACAGACACCCUCGGAGAUACCUGUUGACGAUGUCCUGGACUAGGGGGUACUCACCACGUCGUCUCCCGGUCAGUUAGAUUGGGCCGAGGACCCCCAUGGCCGUAUACUCAUGGGCCAGUUCGGACAGCUUCCACAUACAAGGAAGAUUCCACAAGACUUGGUGAUCAAGACAAGGACUCCUCCCCACCGGCGUAUUCGGCUAGGACUCUUGUUAUCCUAGGCCUCUGGUGCAUUAUAUAAACCGAGGCCAGGCUAGUCGAUAGAGAUAUACAACAAUCAUAACCAUAGGCUAGCUUCUAGGGUUUAGCCUCUACGAUCUCGUGGUAGAUCAAUUCUUGUAAUACUCAUAUCAUCAAGAUCAAUCAAGCAGGAAGUAGGGUAUUACCUCCACUAGUAGAAAAAGAGGCUUCCAUACGCCCCCAUUAGUCCCCAAAAUAAUCGAACCGCGACAAAAGGGGUCUUUAGUCGCGGUUCGGGAGGAGACCCGCGACCAAAUAUCUGGGCCCAGCGCGCUCGGUCGACAGCUGGCGGACGGGAGGGGCUUUAGUCCCGGUUGGCCUGGCCAACCGGGACUAAAGGUCCCCGAAGGCCUUUAGUCGCGGUUGGCCAGGCCAACCGGGACUAAAGGCCCAUCCCUAUAUAUAGGACUCAGCUCACUUCACUUCACUCAGCUCACUUCACAAUAUUCAGAAGGGGGUGGUGGGUUUGCUUUUGGUUCCUCCUAUGCACACAAGGUGUUCGAUGAAAUGCCCGAGAGCCUGAAAAAAACAUGAUAUGAAGUGUCCGAGCCACACUUGAGCUUUCUCAUUUAUUUUUCCUCCGCGAUCGCGGUUAGCAACUUGAACCUUUCAUGUGUCAUUGAUAAAAUAUGCAUGUGUGUAGUUCAUUGUUUAAUUUGUAUUAUUUCUAGCUAGUUAGUUUAACAAAUGCAUGAUGGUUAAUUAUAUACUUUAUAUAAUAAUAAUGCAGAUGAAUCGGCAAUGGAUGUAUGGUCCCCGACUCUCCGGCGAGUUCACUACGGGUUUGAAAGAUUUCCUCGUAGUGGCAAAUGCGAACAAGCAGCAAGGUUUUAUUAUCUGUCCAUGUGCUGUCUGUAAGAAUCAGAAGGGUUACUCCUCCUCAAGAGACGUUCACAUGCACCUGCUUCGGCACGGUUUCAUGCGAAGCUAUAAUUGUUGGACCAAGCAUGGAGAAAGAGGGGUUAGAAUGGAAGAAGAUGAAGAAGGGGAUGAUAUCGAUGACAACUAUCAUGAUCAUUUCGGUGAUACUUUCAUGGAGGAUGAUGCUCAAGGUGGGGAAGGGUUAGGUGAAGGUGAAGAAGAGGCACAUGAUGAGCCCGCUGAUGAUCUUGGUCGGACCAUUGCUGAUGCACGGAGACGCUGCGAAACUGACAAGGAUAGGGAGAAUUUGGAUCGCAUGUUAGAGGAUCACAAAAAGUCGUUGUAUCCAGGAUGCGAUAAUAGUCUGAAAAAGCUGGGCUGCACACUGGAUUUGCUAAAAUGGAAGGCACAGGAAGGUGUAGGUGACUCAUCAUUUGAAAAUUUGCUGAAAAUGUUGAAGAAUAUGUUUCCGAAGAAUAACGAGUUGCCCGCCAGUACGUACGAAGCAAAGAAGGUUGUCUGCCCUCUAGGUUUAGAGGUUCUGAAGAUACAUGCAUGCAUUAACGACUGCAUCCUCUACCGCGGUGAAUACGAGAAUUUGAAUGAAUGCCCUGUAUGCACUGCAUUGAGUUAUAAGAUCAGAGGCGAUGACCCUGGUGACGAUGUUGAGGGCGAGAAACCCAGGAAGAGGGUUCCCGCCAAGGUGAUGUGGUAUGCUCCUAUAAUACCACGGUUGAAACGUCUGUUCAGGAACAAAAAGCAUGCCAAGUCGUUGCGAUGGCACAAAGAGGACCGUAAGUCCGACGGGGGGUUGAGACACACCGCUGAUGGAACGCAAUGGAGAAAGAUCGACAGAGUGUUCAAUGAUUUUGCAGCUGACGCAAGGAACAUAAGAUUUGGUCUAAGUACUGGUGGCAUGAAUCCUUUUGGCGAGCAGAGCUCCAGCCAUAGCACCUGGCCCGUGACUCUAUGCAUCUACAACCUUCCUCCUUGGUUGUGCAUGAAGCGGAAGUUCAUUAUGAUGCCAGUGCUCAUCCAAGGUCCAAAGCAACCAGGGAACGACAUCGUUGUGUACCUAAGGCUAUUAGUUGAUGAACUUUUACAGUUGUGGGCCAGACCUGGUGUACGUGUCUGGGAUGAGCACAAAGGAGAGGAAUUUGACCUACGAGCGUUGCUUUUUGUAACCAUCAACGAUUGGCCUGCUCUCAGUAACCUUUCGGGACAGACAAAUAAGGGAUACAAUGCAUGCACGCACUGCUUACAUGAGACUGAAAGUGUACGUUUGGUUAAUUGUAAGAAGAACGUGUACCUGGGUCAUCAUCGAUUUCUUCCCCGAAAUCAUAACGUAAGAAAGAAAGGCAAGCAUUUCAACGGCAAGGUAGAUCACCGGCCGAAGCCUGCGGAACGUACUGGUCCUGAGAUAUUUGAUAUGGUCAAGGAUUUGAAAGUCAUCUUUGGAAAGGGUCCUGGCGGACAAUCAGUUCCGCGGGGAGUUGACGGGCACGCACCCAUGUGGAAGAAGAAAUCUAUAUUUUGGGAGCUAGAAUAUUGGAAAGUCCUAGAUGUCUGCUCUGCAAUCGACGUGAUGCAUGUUACGAAGAAUAUUUGCGUGAACCUGCUAAGCUUCUUGGGCGUGUAUGGGAAGACAAAUGAUACAAAGGAAGCACGGCAGGACCAGCAACUUUUGAAAGACCCAGAUGACCGGCAUCUGGAAUGGUUUCAAGGUCGUGCCAGCUACGCUCUUACCAAAGAAGAGAAGGUCAUUUUUUUUUGAAUGCCUGAGCAGUAUGAAGGUCCCGUCUGGCUUCUCGUCGAAUAUAAAGGGAAUAAUAAACAUGGCAGAGACAAAGUUACAAAACCUGAAGUCUCACGACUGCCACGUGAUUAUGACGCAAUUGCUUCCGAUUGCUUUGAGGGGGCUCCUACCGGAAAAUGUUCGAGUAGCCAUUGUGAAGCUAUGUGCAUUCCUCAAUGCAAUCUCUCAGAAGGUAAUCAAUCCAGAAGAUCUACCAUGGUUACAGAACGAUGUGGUCCAAUGCCUUGUCAGUUUCGAGUUGGUGUUCCCACCGUCCUUCUUCGAUAUUAUGACGCACCUCCUGCUCCACCUAGUCGAAGAGAUUUCCAUUCUCGGUCCUGUAUUUCUACACAAUAUGUUCCCCCUUGAGAGGUUCAUGGGAGUAUUAAAGAAAUAUGUUCGUAACCGUGCUAGGCCAGAAGGAAGCAUCGUCACGGGCUAUGGAAAUGAGGAGGUAAUUGCGUUAUGUAUUGACUAUGUUCCUGACCUUAAGCGGUAUUCCUCAAUCGCGGCACGAGGGGAGACUAAGUGGAAAAGGCACGAUCGGAAGGAAAUCAACGAUAUGUAUGGACGGUCAUUCUAUGACUGAAGCACACCACACAGUUCUGCAAAAUUCCAGCUUGGUGGCUCCGUUCUUCGAGCAACACAAGAAUAUUUUACGCUCGGACAACCCGGGGAAGCCUGAAUCCUAGAUUAGAAAGGCCCACAUGGAGACUUUCGGCAGUUGGUUGCGAAAACAUUUAAUGAAUGACAAUGAUGUUGGAGAUCAGCUGUACAUGUUGGCCAAGAAACCAUCUUCGACUUUAACGAUUUUCCAAGGGUACGAGAUAAAUGGGAAUACAUUUUACACCAUCGCCCAAGAUAAAAAGAGCACCAACCAAAACAGUGGUGUCCGCUUUGAUGCAGCAACCGAGAAUGGGCAAAAGGUCACAUAUUAUGGUUACAUAGAGGAGAUAUGGGAACUUGACUAUGGACCCUCCAUUAAGGUCCCUUUGUUCCGGUGCAAAUGGUUCAAGCUAACAGGAGGUGGGGUAAAGGUGGAUGAGCAAUACGGAAUGACAAUGGUGGAUUUCAACAAUCUUGGUUACCUUGACGAACCAUUCGUCCUUGCCAAAGAUGUCGCUCAGGUUUUUUAUUUGAAGGACAUGAGUAGCAAACCGAGGAAACGGAAAGAUAAGAAAACGAUCAGUACAUCAUGCGAUGAUCCAAAGCGCCACAUUGUUCUUUCAGGGAAAAGAAACAUCGUGGGAGUGGAGGACAAGACAGACAUGUCAGAAGAUUAUAAUAUGUUUGGUGAAAUUCCGCCCUUCAAAGUGAACACUGACCCAAGCAUUAAGUUAAAUGAUGAGGAUGCUCCAUGGAUACGGCACAAUCGUAAGCAAGCAGGGACACAAGGGAAGAAUUGAUGUGUAAUAAUUUAUUNNNNNNNNNNNNNNNNNNNNNNNNNNNNNNNNNNNNNNNNNNNNNNNNNNNNNNNNNNNNNNNNNNNNNNNNNNNNNNNNNNNNNNNNNNNNNNNNNNNNNNNNNNNNNNNNNNNNNNNNNNNNNNNNNNNNNNNNNNNNNNNNNNNNNNNNNNNNNNNNNNNNNNNNNNNNNNNNNNNNNNNNNNNNNNNNNNNNNNNNNNNNNNNNNNNNNNNNNNNNNNNNNNNNNNNNNNNNNNNNNNNNNNNNNNNNNNNNNNNNNNNNNNNNNNNNNNNNNNNNNNNNNNNNNNNNNNNNNNNNNNNNNNNNNNNNNNNNNNNNNNNNNNNNNNNNNNNNNNNNNNNNNNNNNNNNNNNNNNNNNNNNNNNNNNNNNNNNNNNNNNNNNNNNNNNNNNNNNNNNNNNNNNNNNNNNNNNNNNNNNNNNNNNNNNNNNNNNNNNNNNNNNNNNNNNNNNNNNNNNNNNNNNNNNNNNNNNNNNNNNNNNNNNNNNNNNNNNNNNNNNNNNNNNNNNNNNNNNNNNNNNNNNNNNNNNNNNNNNNNNNNNNNNNNNNNNNNNNNNNNNNNNNNNNNNNNNNNNNNNNNNNNNNNNNNNNNNNNNNNNNNNNNNNNNNNNNNNNNNNNNNNNNNNNNNNNNNNNNNNNNNNNNNNNNNNNNNNNNNNNNNNNNNNNNNNNNNNNNNNNNNNNNNNNNNNNNNNNNNNNNNNNNNNNNNNNNNNNNNNNNNNNNNNNNNNNNNNNNNNNNNNNNNNNNNNNNNNNNNNNNNNNNNNNNNNNNNNNNNNNNNNNNNNNNNNNNNNNNNNNNNNNNNNNNNNNNNNNNNNNNNNNNNNNNNNNNNNNNNNNNNNNNNNNNNNNNNNNNNNNNNNNNNNNNNNNNNNNNNNNNNNNNNNNNNNNNNNNNNNNNNNNNNNNNNNNNNNNNNNNNNNNNNNNNNNNNNNNNNNNNNNNNNNNNNNNNNNNNNNNNNNNNNNNNNNNNNNNNNNNNNNNNNNNNNNNNNNNNNNNNNNNNNNNNNNNNNNNNNNNNNNNNNNNNNNNNNNNNNNNNNNNNNNNNNNNNNNNNNNNNNNNNNNNNNNNNNNNNNNNNNNNNNNNNNNNNNNNNNNNNNNNNNNNNNNNNNNNNNNNNNNNNNNNNNNNNNNNNNNNNNNNNNNNNNNNNNNNNNNNNNNNNNNNNNNNNNNNNNNNNNNNNNNNNNNNNNNNNNNNNNNNNNNNNNNNNNNNNNNNNNNNNNNNNNNNNNNNNNNNNNNNNNNNNNNNNNNNNNNNNNNNNNNNNNNNNNNNNNNNNNNNNNNNNNNNNNNNNNNNNNNNNNNNNNNNNNNNNNNNNNNNNNNNNNNNNNNNNNNNNNNNNNNNNNNNNNNNNNNNNNNNNNNNNNNNNNNNNNNNNNNNNNNNNNNNNNNNNNNNNNNNNNNNNNNNNNNNNNNNNNNNNNNNNNNNNNNNNNNNNNNNNNNNNNNNNNNNNNNNNNNNNNNNNNNNNNNNNNNNNNNNNNNNNNNNNNNNNNNNNNNNNNNNNNNNNNNNNNNNNNNNNNNNNNNNNNNNNNNNNNNNNNNNNNNNNNNNNNNNNNNNNNNNNNNNNNNNNNNNNNNNNNNNNNNNNNNNNNNNNNNNNNNNNNNNNNNNNNNNNNNNNNNNCGCCCGCCGCCGCCUGCCUGCCGUCCUCCGCCUCCCGCCGCCGCCUGCCGUCCUCCGCCUCCCGCCGCCGCCGCCACAAACGAAGGAAAAAUGUUGACCAUGUGUUCAAAAAAUAUUAAAAUGUGUUUGGAAGAUGUUAAACAUGUAUUAGGAAAAUGUUAAACAUGUAUUAGUGUACAGUGUGUAUGAAAAAAACCCAUACAUCCAAAAAAAUAAGUUUUCAAAAAAACUUAAUCAUGUGUUUAAAAAAUGUUAAAUGUAUAUAUAAAAAUCUUUCUGAUGUAUAAGAAAAAGGUUGAAAAAGUUAACACGUGUUGAAGCAAAAAAGAAACCGAUAAAAUCGACAAAAGAUAAGGAAUAACAAAGAAACCCAAUGAAAACCAAAAAGAAAAACAAAGAAAACAAAACAAAAGAAACCAAUGCAAAGGAAUGAAAUCAAGAAAAUCGAGAAAGAAACAAAGAAAACCAAGAAAAACAAAAUAAGAAAAGGAAAAAGAAAAGGAAGAAGAAAAGGAAGAAGAAAAGGAANNNNNNNNNNNNNNNNNNNNNNNNNNNNNNNNNNNNNNNNNNNNNNNNNNNNNNNNNNNNNNNNNNNNNNNNNNNNNNNNNNNNNNNNNNNNNNNNNNNNNNNNNNNNNNNNNNNNNNNNNNNNNNNNNNNNNNNNNNNNNNNNNNNNNNNNNNNNNAACGAAGGAAAAAUGUUGACCAUGUGUUCAAAAAAUAUUAAAAUGUGUUUGGAAGAUGUUAAACAUGUAUUAGGAAAAUGUUAAACAUGUAUUGGGAAAAUGUAUUAGAUAUAUGCCAAAAAUGUACAGUGUGUAUGAAAAAAACCCAUACAUCCAAAAAAAAUAAGUUUUCAAAAAAACUUAAUCAUGUGUUUAAAAAAUGUUAAAUGUAUAUAUAAAAAUCUUUCUGAUGUAUAAGAAAAAGGUUGAAAAAGUUAACACGUGUUGAAGCAAAAAGAAACCGAUAAAAUCGACAAAAGAUAAGGAAUAAUAAAGAAACCCAAUGAAAACCAAAAAGAAAAACAAAGAAAACAAAACAAAAGAAACCAAUGCAAAGGAAUGAAAUCAAGAAAAUCGAGAAAGAAACAAAGAAAACCAAUGAAAAACAAAAUAAGAAAAGGAAAAAGAAAAGGAAGAAGAAAAGGAAAAAAGAAAAGGAAGAAGAAAAGGAAGANNNNNNNNNNAUGAAAUCAAGAAAAUCGAGAAAGAAACAAAGAAAACCAAUGAAAACCAAGAAAAACAAAAUAAGAAAAGGAAAAAGAAAAGGAAGAAGAAAAGGAAGAAGAAAAGGAAAAAGAAAAGGAAGAAGAAAAGGAAAAAGAAAAGGAAGAAGAAAAGGAAAAACAAAAUAAGAAAAGGAAGAAGAAAAGGAAAAAGAAAAGGAAGAAGAAAAGGAAGAAGAAAAGGAAAAACAAAAUACUUGGCAGUGCUCAAUAAUCUUAUUUUUUAAUUCCUCCUCCUCUAUGUGCCCUUAAUGUUAUUUUUUAAUUCAUUUAUACUUAAUUAAUUUUUACUACAUGCAGGAGUGACAUAUGGCGGACGAUAGAGCCGAGCCGCUUAGGGAUCCGGAGGCUGAACGUUAUUUAAUGGGCAUCAUAAACAACGAGAUUCCUUAUGUGCCGGGCUCAGAAUAUGAGCAAGAAGAGGAUGUAGUCUCUUCUUUUCUGAACCUUGACGGUGGAACAGACAUUGUCGAUGAUCAAGAAGGUGAAGGAACGGACAUUGUCGACGGAGGUCAACCGUCAACAAACGACGAUCUCGAAUUGCAAGUAGCAACCACCUCCGGCGAGGUAUAUAUAUACAUUGAGCCUCUCGUGAUACAAACUUACUAAAAUGUGAAUACAUAUGUAUUAACGCGCGCGACUCUCUUUCUUUUUUUAGCCCUCGGCCGGAUCGAGUACGACAAAGCGUGGCAAAUCCAAGGCAAUGAAAACAGGAGAAACAUAUGCCAUUGAGUUUGUCAGUGAAACCGGCAAGCCCCUACAGCACACCUCAAAGUUUAUCAACCAAUGCGGAGUCGUUGUUAGAGACAACGUCCCGAUCACCGUCCAGGAAUGGAAGGAGCCAAAGAAGGCACGUCUUGGUUUCAGUUUUGUCGACAAGAGAACGAAAAAGGAUUGCUGGAGAAAGCUUAUGGAACAUUUCAUUUUACCUCCGGAAUACAACAAAGUCGAUGAAUUCGGUAACGAGGUUCCGGGUGGACGUGAGAGGAGGAGGCUAGUUAAAGAGUUCGCUCUUCAGAAGAUGGGCGAAGCAUUCCGGAACUUCAAGAAAAAUUUAACCCGUGACUAUGUCAACAAGGGCAAGACUCCGGAUUUCAAUGGACAACAUGAGAAACUGAAAGAUGAUUGGCCGGAAUUUGUGAGGCAAAAGAAAUCGGAGCAUUUCAAGGAAAUAUCGAAAAAAAUAAGGAUAAUGCGAGUAAGAAAAAGUUCCAUCAUAUUAUGGGGCCAGGAGGAUACCGCCUUUCGGAGCCUAAGUGGCAGAAGAUGGAGGAGGACCUGAGGGUGCGAGGAAUCCCUCUAGGUACAGAGGGAUGGGACCCAAGGGCCAAAAGCUGGUGGUACGGGCAUGGGGGAUCGCUAGACCCGGAGACAGGGGUGUGUGUUCACCGGAAGAAAAAGUUUGCUCCCACCCAAGCCCUUAUUGACGCAAUGACCCAAGCUCAAGAGGGCUUGAUCAAGUUCAACAGAGAGAAAGACGCACUGACAACAGCCCUCGGGAAUGAUGAACACGGAGGACGUGUACGAGGCAAAGGCAAAGUUCCGUGGAAAGUAGGGUUUUCCCAGGACAAUGACCCGUACUGUUACAGAAGUCGUAAGAGAAAGACGGACCGGGAUGCAGAUCUUAUGGCGAAGUUUGCAUCGGAACUCCAUGAGUUGAAGCAGACCGUGCAUGAACUAGUAAAAGAAAAAUCGGCUGCAGGGCCGCAUGAAGAUCAUGAAGCGGAUCGCGGAAGCCAGCAGCGGAGAAGCAGCGUGGCUUCCACGGAUGCCCCGCCUGGUGCUAGUGCACCGAUGAUCGAGAUUCGUGCACCGGAGCCUCACUACCCCGUGGAUGAUGUAAAGGAGAUGAAAGAAUGUGAUCUGCAUUAUCCCGUGGGGAACGUUUCCACGAAGGUAGCUAGCGGCAGUGCUUUACCCUGUACACCUGGAGCACUCCACCACAACAACCCCAUUGCAUAUGGCUAUGCUCGUGUCACGGUGGAAGACAUAGUCCAAGGGUUUGAGGACCUGGAGAUUGACAAAGCUACACCCGAAGGGGAGAGAAGACUUGGAGAUGUCAAGCGCCAGAUCAUUCUAUGGAAAAAGAAGUACAUAUUGUUUCCAGGCGAGGCGCCAAGGCUAACAAGUCCACCCCCCUCCGAUGGUGGUGGUGGUGGUGGUGGUGGCGGUGGUGGUGAUCGUGGUGGUUCACCUACACCUCCUUCACGCCAUUCGACGCCGUCCCCCGAUCCACAACCUCCGGCGGGUACGACGCCCCCCAAUCCUCCUCCGGCGGGUACGACGCCCCCCAAUCCACCUCCGGCGAAGAAGCAGAAGCAGGCGGACAGCAAGGAAACCCGCUCCUGGACUAUUAACCCGGACCCUUAUGUACCUAAGACCACAAGGGUACCGGAGCCAUCACUGAAGCCUCUCCUCCCAAGGCCUUGGGAACUUAGUGAAGCUGAAACCAAAUUGGCCGCGUCUGCUCAUUAUGAGAAAUGGAAGGCGGAUAUGAAGGCGAUAAAAGAGCCUGAGCCCAAGCAAGUAUUCACUGAGAAGCAAAAGAAGUGGGCUAAGGAUUUUUUGACGACACCGUCCCAAGCCGAGCUGAAUAUGCCUGACGACUAUGGACAUGAACUUCGUAGGCAAGGAAAAAUAUUGAAGGAGGAGAAAGAAGAAAGUAAAAAAAGCGGGAAACAAGUUGACCAGCUCGGGAUGCAGAAUAAACAAUCGAUCCCCCCGCUCAUAGUGAAAGCCGGUCCGGAAGAGGACCCCAAGAUCAUAGCAGCUGCGGCAGCACUUGGAUUGAUUGUAGCGAGUGCCAUGAAACAAGCGUCCGAGAUGGGUUUGACUCUUCGUGCCUUCUUAGGCCUUGAGGAUGCGCCAGUAUGUGAGAUAGCAUUACAAUAUGUGCGGAAUGGGCCUCUCGUCGAGCCUGCGCGGGAAAAGAGUCUACCACCACAAAUGCGAAAUCUGCUACGUUGGUACAAGCAAUUCAUAACAUGGGCCGACAAAGAAUAUAUUUAUGCGGAUGUUACAGAGGAGCAUCACACCAAACGGUACUCUGUACAAGUUCAUAUGAGUGAAUUGUUCCAGCUGUUCAAUCUGCGAGAGCUCGACAAAUCUAUCCUGAGUUGCUACGUUCUGUAAGUGAUUUAUUUCUACCUCAUCUCGUUCUUCAUUGCCUGCACUAUAUAUAUAUAUAUAUAUAUAUAUUGUCCUAACUAUAUUGAUGCGUACGCUAUUAUGCAGAUUGAAGAUUUGGGAAUGCAAAAUAAGAAACAUCCAUGAUGUUGGGCUCAUUGACCCACAUAUCGUUAAUGGACAUGUGUUACAAAAUCACCCCGAAGACGUGGAGAAAGACUUGUACAAGUUUCUUAGAAAGCAUCAACUCAAAAGUCAUAUUCUAUUUCCUUACCAUUUUGGGUGAGUGUUUCUCUCUUGUGCCCAUUCUCUUUUGUUUACUCCAUGCAUGGUAUGUCUAAUCGAUGAGUUAUGCAUGACUGUGCAUGUAACGUGUCCGCAGGUUCCACUGGAUUCUGCUAAAUAUUGAACUUCACACCUCCAGAGUUCUAAUCAUGGACUCUAUGGAUUCGGAUCCAAAGCGUUGGGCCGACAUGAGAAAAAUGCUGCAAAAGUAAUUAUUUUCAAUCAUUUGAGCUCUAUAUCGAUCGGUCUCUUUCGUUCAUUUCCUAAUAUCAAGUAACUAAUAACUCCCUUGUCCAUUUAAUUUUCUUUGCCCUGUAGGGUUUGGAGACGGUUCUCAGAAGAAAUUGUCGGUGAAUUCAAACAUGAGCUAGAUUUUAGAAGGUUAGUUAAUGUGGAUAAGCAGCCAUCGGGGACCAAUCUAUGUGGAUACUAUGUUUGUGAGAACAUCCGGAGACACACCUCUGAGCGGAAGGCAUCGGAUAGCGUGCGGAAGGCGACUGAUAACUUGCGGAGGAGGCUUAGUCCAGAAGCUCGCUUCCGACCAAUUCAAGAUGAAUUAGCAGGAUUUUUCAUGAGGGAAGUCAUCAAUCCUAAAGGAGAACACUAUACCGAGGACGAAGAAAUUUAUAUGCAUACCCGAGAUUGAAACUUGUUCGAAGUUGUAUAUCGUCAUCCAUCCUAAUUGUGUAUGGAAACUUGUUCGAAGUUGUAUAUGGUCACCCGAGAUUGAAUAUAUAUUAUAUAUUCCUCUUGAAUUCUUCUUGUUUGAAAUUUCAUAUGCAUGUAUAUAGUAGCGUAGAAUAUGUGUACUGAAACUUCAUCAAAAUUAAAAUAAAACACAAAAUAAAAUAUAAAAGAAAUAAAACACUACAAAUUAAAAAGAAACCAUGUUUAGGGGGGCUAAAACCCUAAACCUGGGGAGGAGGCCUUUAGUCCCGGUUAGCCACGAGAACCGGGACUAAAGGUCCUCCGCCCCGACGGACCCCUGGCGCCCACGUGGACGGGCCUUUAGUCCCGGUUAGCCACGAGAACCGGGACUAAAGGUCCUCCGCCCCGACGGACCCCUGGCGCCCACGUGGACGGGCCUUUAGUCGCGCAUAUUUAGUCCCGGUUGCACAGCCGGGACUAAAGGCCUUUGCGAACCGAACUAAAGGCCCAUUUUCUACCAGUGCUCCAUCGAGAGGGACCGAACCUGGGUAAACAUUGUGUCCCCCGCCUCCUGUUACCAUUAGCCUUAGACGCACAGUUCGGGACCCCCUACCCGAGAUCUGCCGGUUUUUACACCGACAUUGGUGCUUUCAUUGAGAGUUCCACUGUGUCAUCACGAUAAGGCUUGAUGGAUCCUUCAAUCAUCUGCAACAAUGCGAUCCAGGGUGAGGUUUUCCUCCCCGGACAGAUCUUCGUAUUCGGCGGCUUCGUACUGCGGGCCAACUCGCUUGGCCAUCCGGAGCAGAUCGAUAGCUACGCCCCUGGUCAUCAGGUUAGGUUUGGAAGCCUGAACUACACCGCCGACAUCCGCGUAGACUUGAUCUUCGACCGAUUCGAGCCCAUGACAGGUGUGCCGAACAAUCACGAGGAGCAUGACUUAGAUGAGAUCACACCUACGGUUGCCCUGGCUCUUAAUCCGGAGCGCAUCGUGCCAUCCGAGGACGAGUGGAUGGACCCCUCCACGGAGGCCGCACACUUAGCGGCGAUAGAGCCGAACACAGACUUCGCCUCCAAUGAGGUAUGUGUCAUCGGACCCUCGGACUCGUCUCCGGCCAUAGGCUCCGAACCGCGUGCAUCUGUGCCUAUAGAAUCUGAUUGGGCACCGAUCAUGGAGUUUACCUCCGCGGAUAUCUUUCCGCACUCGCCCUUGGGCGACGUGCUAAAUUCAUCGAAAUCUCUCUCCCUGUCAGGAGACUCGCGGCCGAACUAUGUCCGGCUCGAGUGGGAAGCGGACGACGAAGAAAUUCGUUCCCCACCCACCACCCACUUAAUAGCCAUUGUCGAUGACUUAACCGACAUGCUUGACUUCGACUCCGAAGACAUCGAUGGUAUGGACGACGAUGCAGGAGAAGAACAGGAACCACCGCCCACAGGGCGCCGUGAAGAUCACUUUUCAGAUAUGUUUCCUGCUCAAAUACGGAUCCGACCCGAAUUCGUGUUUCUUUAUGAACGUGAUAUUGGACAACCUUUUUAAAGGAAUUUUAUUCUAAGGUACCGUGCGUUGUUCUUAACACGUGCCCAUAAAAUUUUAAGCCUCCUUUGAGGUAAUCUUCGCCAUCACGCUGGUGUCAAACCAGUCCGGCAAUAUAGCUCCAUGGCUGCCGACCUGCGCUAGACAUGUCGUCGCUUUUUGAGUCGAGCUCAACUUCU